ACACAUCACUGUUGUGUAAGAAAUUAAUAAAUCAUUUACAUAAUGAUAUCAAAUGUAUGUGUAUAAACCAUGAUUUUUCAUGUCAUAUAAACGUUAUUCAAAGUACAUAAAAGGCUACCUGUUUGUUUUUAUGUUUUAAAAGUAUUUUUUAAAAAAAAUAAAUUUUUUUAUUUUUUUUAGUUUAAAUUAAUAGUUUUUUAGUGUUUUUAGAUAUUAUGAUGCGCUGAUAUUAAAAAUAUUUUUUAAAAAAAAAACAUUAUUUUGAUAUAUUUUCAAGUGAAAAGCACUUUGAAAACCGUAACAUCAUUAUAUUUUUUUUAAAAAUACUUUUAAAAUAUAAAAAUAAACAGGAAAGUGAUGAGAAUAUAUUUUUAACUAUAUUUUUUUAAAAGACACUUGUGGUCUAUGCAUGGUGUUUGUUUUUAUUUUUUGAAGUAUAUUUCAAAUUAUUUUUUAUGAUUAUAUUUUAGUUUUUGUAAAAUUGAAUCCAUCUUAAAUUAUUAUUGCAACUGGUGGCAUGAUCCUUUUAGGUAUAUUCAUCUUCAAUUACAAAUUAGGAAUGUAAAAAAUAGCAAUCUGAACUGGUCAGCUUCUUCUUCUCCGCUACCAAUAUCCAUCUUUUCUGAUUCCUUAUUUUACCAAAAUAAAAAAUAGAACCCUGAUAUAAAAUACCAAGAUAUUGGGAGAAGAUGAUAUCAUUAUUAAUGACUAAAUAAUAUAUGAUUAGAAAAAAACUAAUAAAUUGUCAUGCUUCAAUUAAUGACACAUGUAAAAACAAUUAAAAAUAAAAAUAGGCUAUGUCAGUAUGACGCCUGCUUAUCAUGAGCAUGUGGUGUGACAAAAAAAAAUGCCAUGUCAUCUGGACACAUAAAAAUUUGAAUAUUAUAGCGAUCACUUCAUCCAUUUCACUGCAUAACGAUCAAGGUGUGAAAUGAAAAUAUACUCUUUUUUUUCCUGGUGAGAAAACAGACGAUAGUUUUCGAAUCAAAAUGCUAAUGAUCCAUGAACAAACAAUAGGUAUGAUAGUCCCUCGUAGCUUACAUGAUCGUUAAUUUCAGGAUCUAUAAAAUUAGUCGAGGUAUAUAUAAACUAGUUCGGACACCCACAUUAAUCAAAAAACAAUAAGAAUCUAUGAAAAAUACCAUUGCGACUACCUACAUCCAUAAAUAUAGACUAUAAUAUUUAAGAUUAUUGACAAAAUUUAUAAAAAUAUUUGUACUGAAACAAUUGGUUUUGAAAAAAAAGAGAGUAAAUUUUCACAUCACUAGUAAUUUUUUUCCUUUAAAAUCUACAUCAAUAAAUAUAAACCAUAAUAUUUAAUACUAAGAUGUUGUCACUUCCACGUUUUAGCAUAUAUAUUUAAUAUCUGGCAAGGUCUGUUCCCGCGCUUUACCCCAAAGGAAGGUUUUGGUAAUUAUAAAGUAGUGUUUGAUUAAUAUUAUUUGAUAGAAGGAAAAAGCGACAGAAAUAAUAUAAAAUAAAUUUAUUUUUAAAACAGUUUUGAAAUAAAUUUAUGUAUUUUAUAAUAAAAUAAUAUAUAAUAACUAAACGCUAUUAGAUAGUUUACGAUAAAUCUUGAAGAUAAUGGUAGAAAUUGAGAGGAUUGAAGAUAUAUAUAUAUAUAUAUAUAUAUAUAUAUAUAUAUAUAUAUAUAUAUAUAUUUUAUUUGAGGAAACUUUAUUCCUUGAAAAGCGUAUUUUGUGGGCUUAGGUGAGCGAUUAAAACCUCAGCUGUCCUAGACUCUUACAAGAAGUGCACGUCCUGAUUCGAACUCGAGACCUGCUAUGCAGAUCUCAAGCUCUUUGUCAUCACGCUACGUCUCUUGGGACUGAAUCGAAGAGAUAUUGCUAAAGCUUGGUAAAGAUUUCUUUCGAUUCUUGUUAAGCAAAUCUCACCAAUAGAAUUUCAGAGAGCACCAUCGCAGCUUGGUCACGCUGAGUUUUUGUUUGAAAUAAUGUCUGGCCACAUGCUUUUUUAGCAUUUCUUGGUGCCCUCCUACGUUGAAUAAGGAGGGUUUGCUUGCAACUUUGAAUCAAAUAAUAAUGAGGCUGAAUCGUUGACUAAAUCUCUUGGCGCAAACGAAAGGAAGAAAGGGACCGGAAUCGUCGUUUUGUCAAACCAUGUACAGGUGUAUUCUGGAGAGUGUAACACCAUCGCUAAGCAAUGAUCCUGUUAGUUUUUUGUACUAAUUCUUUCUUUUUAUUUUUUUAUUGCCUCUCGAUUCACAGAUCAGGUGUUGUUGCUUCAGGUGACCAAGUUUCCUUUCUUUAUUGUUGUUAUUGUUUUUGGUUUUACUUUUCAAGUCAUUAAUUCUCAGGUCAGCAACGAGGAUGUGGAUAUGCAUAUUAACAUGAGAGAGAGAGAGAGAGAGAGAAUAUGUUGUGCUUCAAGAGUUACUAUCAGCUAUCGUUUUGCACCUGUUUUUGUAUUUGCAAUGUAAAAAACAUAAUAAGGUAUCUGGUAACCAUAAAAAUUGUGUUUUAUAUUAUGGAAUUCACUAAAAAAAUUGAAUUUAAAAUGCAAUUUUUGUGCAACCACAUAACUACCAAACAUUUUAUAAAUGUUUUUUUACUGCAAAUAAACCUCAACCAUAAUUUUUACUAAACGUAUAUCUAAAUCCAACUAACCACACCUAACCAUGCUUUUUUUAAAUUUAUUUUUUUCAAACUACAACCAUACAAGUUACCUCAAAAAUAAACGCACUCUCUAGAGUGUGAUAACAGUUAAUUUUUAAAAUAUUUUUUAUAUAAAUACAUUAAAAUAAUAUAUUUUUUUAUUUUUUACAUUAGUAUAUCAAAACAAUCCAAAAAUAUAUAAAAAAUUAAUUUUAAAUAAAAAUAAUAAUUGAAUUUCAACCGAUCUCUAUUUGAACCGCAAUAUUAAACAUGGGCUUACACAUCAACUCUUGGAGGUGGGCUUAGUGAAAAGGUUCAAAUUUAAGGAUGGCUAUUAACCUGGUUCCUUUUCCUGGGUUAUUUGAAACUAGAUAAAACUUGGUAGGGUUCAUAUAAGGCCCAAGAGAGAUUAUUAUCAUAAUUAGGAAAGAAUUGCUAUUCCGUUGACUUUUGAAGCUGACUGCUAGCCUGCACAUUUUGAUUUUUUUUCUUUGACUUUUCUUUUUUGAGAAGAACAGUACAUGAAUGAUAAGACUUGGCCCAUCUGUCUCCAAUUCAUGAAUAGCGAGCGAUACCAUCGGUGGCUGGAAGUCUUUUUCUUGCACUAGGGAUUGUUGGAUCCAAGCCAUGAGCCAGAUGGGCAUAUGCCUGAACAAUUGACUUUCCUUACAAACCAAAAUCGUGCUGGCGUCAAGCCAAUUAACAGCUAGCAAGUCAAGUUUCAGGCUAAAAUAAAUAAGCAUUAAAUAAUAAGUAUUCCACAGACCAAACAUUGAUUAGGUCCUGGAAAAAUCUCUAAACUAUCCUCCACGGGAUAGCAAGCCACGCAAAUGGCCCAGCGUUACCGUCCAGCAAAAGAAUCUAUUACUUCUCAAAGAAAACGACCUCACUGAUAGUAAUUGAGAGGAACAAGGAGGAUUAUACUUUUUUUCUACCAAGAAAGAUACAGGCAAGACAAUGGAGCUUGUUUGCAGAAGCUUCAGGGUAGAAAGAGGGUCAUCAAUAAAGUUUGGGAGAUCGAACAGUUCACUGCUGAUAUCAGAAUCUAUAUCCUCGGAAUGUACACGAGUUGCCCGCUAUGAGAAUCUUUCAGCUUCUAUGAGGAUGAGCAAUGAUCAGGAUAUCGGAUAUAGGAGCAGGAAAAGCAGGGCUUACACGUUUAUAAGCAAGGUUUUCAGCUUCAGGAAAAUCUCCAGCGAUUGUGAGACAAGGCAGCAAGCAGAUAUGGUGACUCAAGAGGAGAAAAAAGAGAAGAAGAAAAGGUCUUCGUGGCUUCCUGAUCCUGAAAGGAGAUGGCCUGUGCAGGGUUGGUGAUUUACAGUCAAAGUCAAGGAGCUAGGCAUGGCAAUAACUAAGAUCAUUAACUGGGUUUUCAUUCCUCCGGAUCUCAUGUGGCGAGAAGAUUGAAGAAAUCUCAAGGAAAAGGAUAGAAAAGACUACGAGGAAAUGCUCAGAUAGUCAAUUGAUCACAUGGCUAGAUUAUCAAAAAGGAAGCAUAGCAUUUAUUACUUCAAAACGAUUUGUAAUGUUCCCACCCAAUUAUUAAAUUGUUCUUCUCACCAACAACCCAAUUUAAAACCCAAGCAAAGCAGGUCUAUACGAGAUGGCUUCGUGGAAAAUAAUCCAUAAACCUCAAGCAGAAUAGAUUUAGCUUAUGAUGCUGCUAGUUGUAUUCUGCAAUGUCCAUGAAUAAUACAUUGCUAUUUGUAAAGCUUGUAAGGUGAAGGACCUACUGGGUUCUAUCCAAAUGCCCAGACUGCUUGAACCCCUUGAUUAUGAGCAUCGGGUCUUUGAAAGUUCUUGCUUAUGAACUUCCGAUGUGAUGAACACUUCAGUAGCCAAUAGGCAACACUUGAUGAAAGGCAGCAAUGUCUCCGACAAGAACCAUGAUUUUGACAAACAUGCGAAUAUAACGAGAAAAGGCUUCUUCUGAUCAAGUUACCUUGCCUUGAAUUGAAUAUGAAGCAUCUGAAUUAAUUGAAUAUGUUUAACAUAAGAACAUAGAAGUCCCAGCACAGAAAUUUGUUGUUAUCAAGGACAGGGCCUAGGACAAAUCUCUCAUAAUAUGGUAGGUAGAUAGAGAACAAUACUAAAAGGGAUCCCUACACAAGUUCCAUUUUGCAAGAAAUCAGUAAAUUAUCAAUCAAAAAACUAUAUGAACAUGAUAAUGGAAGACUAAGAGCAUCAUGAUCAGUAGCUUUAGGUCUAUUAGAGUGAUGACACAGCAGAAAAAUAACUCUUUGAAUGUAAAUUGGAAUCUUCAUUGAAUGCCAACAAUCCUGGGUUUUGCACUUAACAAUGAAGAACAUACAUGUUUCAUAAUCGUAUAUAUUCCAGAUGGGUGCGAAUGCGAUAGCGAUUAAAAGCCAUAGAUGAUCUGAAUUUUGUGCCAAUAGCUGAAAAAUCAUUUACGAUUCGUUAGAUGAGUUUUCUUUAAAAAAUUACAAAUUCUUCACAAGCAAGCAAAAAAAAUAUUCUUUUUUCGUUAUAAUCACGCAGGUUACUGUUAGAUAUGAUAAGAUUAGAUGGAAACAACAAAUAAAGAUUUGAAACACUCUACAGGGGUGUUUGGCCUUCGUUUUAACUAAAGUUUUGUAUAUUUUUAGAAGAAAAUGUUAAAUUUAUAUUAAUUUUUUUUAUUGUUUUAAUACGAUGAUAUCAUAAAUAAAUUUUUAAAAAUAAAAAAUUAUUAUUUUAAUAUAUUUUAAAAUAAAAAAUAUUCUAAAAAAAAAAUAUUUUAAAAAGCAAUCUCUAUAAAUAUUCUAUCACUAUCCUAGACAACUUUUAAAAAAACUGGCAGCUGUCAUUUGCACGCGUGCAUGUGAUUUUUUUGGGUUUUAACAUCAAUCAAUCCGGCAGCAAUAUAAUAUGCGGCAAGCAUAUUAAGAAUGUGUUUGAAAUUGUAACGUGAUGUCUGUUUAAAAUAUUUAUUUUAUUUUUAAAAAAUUAUUUUUUAUAUCAGUAUAGUAAAAUAAUUUUAAAAUUAAAAAAAUUUAAAUAAAAUUUUUUUAAAAAAAAAACUAUGAUUUACAACAUGUUCCCGAACACUACUUAAAUUUAAAUAAAAUAAAAAAUAAAAAAAAAAUAAUCUAUAGUUAUGUUUCACUCGUGUUUUGAAAUUCAACAUGAUUUGAUGAUUUUAUUAAAAAAAUAAUUUAAAAUAACUUUUUAAUUAAAUUAAAUAAAAUAUAAAUUUAAUAAAAUUUAUUUGACUUGCUAAGUUUUUAAUAACUUAAUUGAUUCAAUAAUAUUCAAUUUAAAUCUAAUCAAAUCAAUAAACAUGAAGAAAAAAACCAUGUCAUUUAAUUACAAAAUCAAAAUCUCUAAUCUCUAAUCUCCUCUUAUCUCAGCACAAAACAACUAAACGGCCAUAGAUAAAUAAAGUUUGAAAAAACAUGUAUCUCUCCAAUCAUCUUCAUGUUAUUUUCUUGUUUUCUUUUGUUUCAAGGAAUUAUUAUUGUUUUGUUUUAUUUUGUUGUGUUUGCAUCCUCGGUGCUCAAGGUCCUCCAAAAACAAAAUCAGUGAGGCAUGGUAGCUUGACCAUUUUAGUUUUUCGCCUGCUUUUGCUUAUAGGUUAUGUAAAUAUGUAGAGAUUUUUUUAAUAGUGAUUGUUGAAAGACUUAAAAAAGCCUAAGAGGGAGUGAAUUAGAGCUUCAUUUAUUUUUUAUUGCCAUUUUAAAAAUAAUCUCCAAUUUACUCAAAAUAGUUUAAAUUAAUCUCAAUUUCUUUAACAAUGUCUAAAUCAAAAAUUAAUACCAAAACUCACAAACUAUAUCUUAAUACACUAAGAUAGCCAAAACACCGAAGUAAUAUAAUUGAUCAUAAAUAAAAAGAUAAGGAUAGAGCGAGACACACUAAUUUUAUAGUGGUUCAGAUUAAAUAAUCCUUCUAUCAGGCUUAAAAUUAAACUCAAUACUUUUAUGGGCUAAGGAUUAAACAUGUCUCAAUUGUUUUUUCGAACUCAAUAUUAAAUACAAUUUUUUUUACAGGCUAAUAAUCAAACCCAUCACUUGAUUUUUUCAUGAGCUCAAGAUUGAAAACUUAUCACACAAAUUUUUUUUGAAGAUCCUCUCUCAAAUUCACACCUAAAGAAUAAAUCUAAGUGGUUAAACUGUCACUUAUACUUUUUAUAAUAUAUUUGUUUCUCACAAGAGAAAGAUUACUCCUUACAUGCUGAAAAGAUUACAAUAUAUAAACUCAAGUAUUUAUAGAAUGUAAUCUAACACACAAAGGUGAAAGAGUGAUUUUGAUGUUAUAAGAUUCAAAGAUUUUUAAAAGAUUACAGAAGAAUAAUCAAAACUUUUUAGAAUAAGAAAUAUCACACAUCAUGUGCAAGAACAAUUAGAAAUACUAAAAAUGUGUAUUUAUUGAAAAACCCCAAAACUAGUUAUUACUUAUGUUAAAAUUAUAAAUUUAUCACCUUAACUGAUAAUAAAUAAAUGAUAUAAAAACCAAUGUGAUAAUAUUUUUAGCUACAAUUGGUUAUUAAAAUAUAUUAUAGUGCAAGGCACAUAAUAAGUAUUAUGCUCUUCAUUUAAGUGUAAAUAACAAAAUAUAUGAUGAAAUAUUUUUGGAUGAAAAUAUAUAUGGCAAAAAAAAAUAUUUUUUAUGAUGUAAAAUUAUAUUCCAUAAAGAUUUGAUCACACAAAGAUAUGAUUUGAAGAAUCUUCAAGUUAAGUUUGCAUCCAAAGAGUCUAUAAUUUCAGUCUGAUGUAGAAAAAUUCUUAUAAUAAUAAUACUUUGACAUAUAUAUUAUAUGCAAUAAUAUAUUGUUAUCAUCAAAACAAAUAAUCCUUGACCGAUUAAAGGAUUAAAGGCCUCUCAUAGUAAAUGAGUUGUAUAUUCAUCUUUUCCUUCUACAUUUCUUAUGAUCAUUUCUAGAAAUGGAAACAAAUGAGGGAAAAAAAGAAGAGAAAAGCUUCAAUUUUCGAAUAUGAUAUAUACAAAUUAAUCAAUGUAUUACAUAAAUUUCUCCUAACUAAUGAAAGAUUGAGUUGUAAAUGAUGAUAUAUGGAGUUAUUGAAAAUCCUUCAAAGAUAAUUGAAACAUUUCAUUUGUCUCUUCCUAGCGAUUUCUACUCUACAACAUUACGUUGUCUUUUAUUUCAUAAACAAUGUCGUCUUUUUUAGUGCUCUUUUCCUAUUCUGUUUAUUUCACUGAUGGAAAUAGGGCUUCUAGGUAUUCAACCGAGGGAGUUCUCAAAAAAUGUGAUUUUUUUUUUACUUAAAAUAAAAAAAUUAUGUUUUCAGUUUUUUUUAUGUGCUGAUUUUAAAAAUAAUUUUUAAAAAAUAAAAAAAAUUAUUUUAAUGUCUUUCCAAGCAAAAAACUUUUGAACCAUCACCGUUAUUAUAAUCUCAAAUAGACUCUAAAACUUAGUGAAUUACUAGUUUUUUGUUGUAUUUUUGCUGCGAUUGAAUCUAAAUAUUUUAGAAUAUAAAAAAAAUAUUAUUUAAAAUAUUAAAAAAUAAAUAGUAUUGUUAUUAGCGUUUCAUAUUUAAAAAAUCUUGACUCAGUUAUUUUCUUAGUUUAAAUUUUAAAUUAAUUUGACUUAUUUUUUUAUAAAUUAUUUCAAUUUUGCUAUGAUAGUAACGUGUGACUAUUUUCUAAUCUACAACUAAAUUUAUCAAAACUCUAUGAAAGUUUUCUUAUCCUCAUUCUCAUUCGAGAUACUAGGAGCUCUCCAUUGGUUGAACUUUGAGUUCUUGUUUGCACUUAAGUUUUUUCAUUUGAAGAGCACAUUUAUGUGUUUUUUUUUAAUGCCUUUUCUUUUGUUUUUUUAUUGCACAUAUUAAAAAUAUAUACAUUGUGUUCAGAAUGUAAUGAGGCUUAUCUAGGUAAUUAAUUUGGCAAUGUACUAGGUUAACUUUUCCCUGCACUAUGGCUAUAUCUUGUAUCAAAAAAAUUUAGAAUGUCAAAAAAAAAAUAUUUAGAUUAUAAAAAUCUUUUUGAUAUUAUUAUUAAACUUAAUAUAAUAGUUCAAAUUUAAAAAAUUCUUAACCAACUCUUUACUUAGCCUAAAUUUUAAAUUAAAUUGUGUUCUAACAUGACUUUAUCAACUAAGCAGGUAAAAAAAAUCAAAGAAAAAGGAAAAAAAUUGGUCAUGUUCACUCUAAUCAACUCAUCCAAUCCGUGAAUGGACUCCACUUAGUUGAAUUAAUUUGUUUAUUUUAUUAUAUGAUAAAAAAAUACAAAAAUAAUUUACAAUCAAUUCAAUACUAAAAAAUAAAAUUCAAUAAAAACUAUAAUAUAAUUAAAAAAUCUCAAAGGGCCAAUAAAAAGAGCCCGGAUCAUAAUAUAUAAUUUAAUGAGUCAAUGCAUUGGAUAAAAGGCCAUGGCUAGUUUAUAUGUAUCGCGCUCGAUAAAUCUCCUGAGCUCUCUGGUCUGCCAUCCUCACUUUUUCUAUUUUUACACUAGGUUGAAUUUGAGACAAGACAACUUCCUAUUUUUUUCCGCAAACGAGAAGCUGUAUUUCUUACUAAAUUAAUUAAUUAAUUAAUUAAUUAUAUUACAAAAUCCCAUUAAUUAUAUCUAUUUCAAACCUCUCAAUUCUUUUUUCAGAGUUAUGAUUUUUCUUUUUAUUUAGUCAUAAUUGCUCAUCCCAUUGAUUGAUUUUAUCUUUAAUGAAAUAUUUAAUUUAAUUCAUCUCCAAUCACCUAAAAUCCAAUGUGAAUAGAUUUUAGUUUGUAUAUUUGUAAAAAAAAAUAUUUUAGAAAACAAAUAUUUUAGAAAACCCGAAAUAUGUAUAUUCCACAAAUCCAAUGUGAAUAGAUUUUAGUUUGUAUAUUUGUAAAAAAAAAAUAUUUUAGAAAACAAAAAUCAUAUUAUGAACCCGUAGUGAAAUAUGUAUAUUCCACGCCAUUUAGUAUUUUCUAUAAAAUAAUAUAAUGCGUAUCCCUGAAAACACUAUGAAAAAUAAAUUUUAUGAACAAAAAAGGUAUUAAUUUCUUUUAUGACAUCAUUUGUUCAUUAAAAUGUAAAUUAUUUUAUUAUAUUUAGUUGUGUAAUAAAUGAUGAGUUGAAAAUUUAUUCUUACCGUUUUUGCGUAUAUUGAAAAACCAAUUACAAAAGCUAGUAUGAAGCAUGCAAAGAUUAAAUGUGGUUUUUUAAACUCGAAUGAAAUAUUUAAAUAUAAUUAUUUCGUAAUUCAAAUAAAAUCUAAUUGUCAUAAAAUGUAAUUAUCAUAUAUUUUAAAAUUAAUACUGCAAGUUAAUACUUAAAAAAAAUAAAAAUAAAAAAGAGGGUGAGAAGUAGUAGAAUAAACAAAAGAAUUGUGCUAUACAAAAAAUUGACUGAUUAUUUUAACAAGAGCUAGAAAACCGCCAAAUAAUUGCUAAUAAAUUAUUUUAUUUUUACUAAGAAAUGUAAUAUUGCUUUCAAACGAUUUAUUUUACUUUGUUUAAAAGAUUAAUAAGAGAUCCGAGUGGAUUUGAACCACCAGCCUCUCAAAUCCCCAUUACGGGACUUUGAGCGCUCUACCGUUUUGAGCUUACGGAUCUUAUCAUCAUUGAAGAACGGGCAUCAAAACGAGAGUUACCUCUCCCCUUUUCUUUUCUCAUCUACAAAUCCUCCUCUACUUAAUUACCAAAGUUACCACAAAAUGAAUUUUUUUAAUGACCUGACCUUUUUUCACGGGCAAAAACACAUUUCCAAUACAAAUAUCAAUUGACUAAACAAAUCAUUAAUAAAGAGCUGACCGCAUCAAGCCAGAUUCCUGCCUGACACAUUUACACUAAUGUGAAUCAUUUAUCACCGGAAGCCAUAUUUACAUAACCGUUGUGACGUUGAUUUGAAUAAUAAAAGAACAUGUUCAGGGGAAAAUACAUUCUACCAAUAAAAAAAGAUACAUUCAAGAUAAAGUUUGAUACUACUUUUGUAUUAAAAAUACCAUAUUUUAAAAACAAAAAUUCUUAAUAUUGUUUCAUUAUAAUUACAUUUAUUAUAAAAAUUAAAUUUAUAGCUCUAAAAUAUAUACAUUUCAUAUUGUUAAAAAGAACACGCAGAAAAAUUACGUUAGUCGUGUUUUUUUUUUAAUUUCAAAAAUUAAAAAAAAAACUCAGAUAUAUUAUAGGUGCAAAUUUAAAAAAAAAAACAUCUGAAACUAUUUAUAAGUUCUUCCAUAAUUUUCACAAAGUCGAAAAAUAACAACUUGAGAUUGUAUAUAGCUAAAAUAGUGUAUGAAAAUCCAAUGAUAGACAUAAAGAAAGUGUUGAAUAAUAUAAUGCCGGAUGUAUUGCUUUUUAAAUGAACAUGAACUAGCUUAUUAGAAUUUUUAUUGUACUUUUAUUUUUAACAUAUCAAAUUCAUAAAACAGUUCUUAAAAAACAAAGACACUAACACAUUGGACACUUCAAAUAUAUAUUUAAUAUUGUGAUGACAGUAAAUUUUUAAUUAAAAAUACUGUAAAUUUUUUUUCUUGGUUCGACAUUAAAACUAAAAAAUCAGUUUAAUACUUGCAAUUUCAUAAUCCGAGGACUGCAAUUACUAAUAUGGUUGUUCUGGCGUGUCUUUGAAUAAAUAAAAAACACCCGAAAGCUUGAUUUGAAAGAACUUCGGUCAGGGAUGAGCAUCAAUCACCACCAUCUGGUCACCGGAAAGGCAUAACCUAACCUUCCAAUACGUGGCAAUUCAUGAAACCUAUCAUGUGAAACUUCUGGAAGAACAAUACGUGGAAAAUUUGGUAUUUAAAUUAAAUUGCUUCGCCUAAAAAGGCAUUAAAUUGAUGCUAAUAUCAAGAAUAUUAUAUUGAAAAACACUAAUUAAUUACCAAAUACCAAAGACAAUGAGAGAGGACCACUUUUCUUCGAAUUAGUGGGAAAGGAUAGAUAGAUAAUUAUGAGCAUGUUUUAAUAAAACGGCACAUAAAAGAGAAGACACGCAGCAUUUACUGACUUGUAGAAUAACGACUUCAGUAGAUUACUACAUCUCCAGCUAAAACAAGGAAACCAUAGCAGCGCAGAUUUUAAACUGAAUGACACUGAACAACAAUUUAAUUGAGUGCUUUAUUUUUCUUUCAGGUGGAAUAGUAAACCAUUGAAGAACUUAUCACCUCAAAAUUGUGUGGCUCAAUUGAGAAUUGCGUGAGGACCUCCUGAGCUUUCUGUCGCCCUUUGAAGCCAUCAUCAUGAUCGUUGAAGCUCAGCAGCACAAGGUCUUUACAAACGUGGAUCGCCUACUGAGGACUACAAAUCCAUCUUCAACGCUACCAUACUAAGGCCAAAUCACUCACACCCAGAGAACCAAACAAGAAGAUCCAAUUGCAAAUCACAAGACUAGGUAAGAGCCACUUAAAUCCAGCCCCAAGGUCUUACAAGGAUAUCAUAGAGGACAAUAAGCUUAAUUAACAUACUUGCUACAAAAUAUGUAAUUGUAAAACGCUAGCAACAAUAGUAAAGCUAUCGAAACAGAAAUUCUGCGCAAGAUCGCAGUAAUGGAUUGACAAGCUAUAUCUAAAUAAACAAAACUCGUGCUCAUGUUUGCUCUGUAAAAUAAUAACAUGAGAUGCGUGCGUUGGAUAAUGAAAUAACUUGGAACGAAUGUUACCUGCAAUAACGGGGUGGUGCAAUGGAAUAAAAGCUUGAGUGCAAGGAAAGCAUACUGUUUAAUAUAGAAUAGAAGGUAAGCCCUGAUAUCAUAAUUUCCAGUGUCUUUGUUUUUUAUGUACUCUGUGAUGUGUGACUGCCAGUUUCAAGUGCUGAAACAUGUUUUAGUAGAAUUCUCUUAAUAGCCCAUAUUACCAAGAUGAAUAUUUGAUGGGAGCAGAUAGUGAUGAACAAUGAGAACCCAGAUUACAAAUUCAUGAUCUUGCUAACGACUGAUUCUACGUGAAGGGGCAUGUGACUACAUGAUUCUAAGUGCAGGAAAAUCGAAUUGAGGAUAUAGGAUAUAAGUAGGAGAAUACCUUCGGGUCACCGUCAUAAAUUGCAAUAUCGUGCCAUGGAUGAAUUGAUUGCUAGCUGGAGUCGGGGCCGCGCUUUAGCCAUGGAUUGUAAGGCAAAGAGAAGAGAAAGCGGGACACAGAGACUAGAGGGGAGAACCCGGGAAAUCCCCGUGCGAUCUCCCCUCCAAACACGAAAAUGAUAAUUUUAUUAAGAUAGUGGUUGACCUGCCAUGCAAGCGCACCUGUCAUGGCAAAGGUCGGAUGACAAAGAUAAUAAACAAGACCUUGGCCUCUUGGCCUUCUGGUCCCGAUAUAUAUCUUAUACAUCAUCCUCAUAAAUAAAUCGAACACCAACACCAGCAUCAUCUCCUUCCUGUCCUUCUCCACCAACAAAUUACACAUAACAUGCUACACCACAGCUCACAUAACCAAUCUUCAGCCAUGUCUACAUCCAGCAACACGUUCAGCGGAUUCUGUAACUGCUUACAACACCACCUGCAGAAAAAAUCUCAAAUCAUCUUCUGCUUUCCGCCAACAACCAAACUUAAAUAUUGCUAAAAUUCCUCAUGAUCGAAGAAAGCAUGGCCGGAAGGGACAGAUCCGCUUAAUAUUUGAGCUAUCGAAACAGAGCCGCGCCACAUCUACAGAACAAAAUUAGAUUUACGCGGAUUAAUGACUUGAUCAAUAACCAAUAGACAGAUAUUCAAUCAGAUCUAGCUUAGGAACGUAAACAAAACACUUAUACAUACCUCUGGAGCUAUCUCCGAGCAAAUCAAGAUCAUGGAGUUCGAGCAUCGAAACGGAUAUCAAGAUAAAGAUCGCAAGGCGAUCUAUAUGAAGCUGCAAUUGAAAAGAUCGAAGGAUGAUCCAUGAAGAGUAGAUCUAUGGAGAAACUAGAGCUUUGCUGAUAAGAUUAGGUAGAUAUGAAAGUUGUGUAUGUGAUUAUUAUAUAGAGGGUUUGGGAGAAUGGACGGACAGGAUUAGUCGCUUAGUUGAAUAAUGGAGGGCUGAGAUUCCGUUUAAAUGGUGUGGAAAUGGACGGCACAUAUGAGCUGGCAAGAUAUGAUAUUCGUGGUAAUCACGCUGGUUAGUAGGAUAGAUAUGGACGGCAUUGAAAGGAUUGGUUCAAAUACGCGCGUGCUUUGUGACCUUUAUUUUUCUUCCACGUUACGCGUGUGAUUUUUAUAUUAAAUACAGCAAAAUUAAUCUUUGUGAUAAAAAUAAUAACUAUGAAGGUUGAUAGCCUUUUGUUUGAAAAAAUGUAUUUUCAAUGGUUUGAUAUUUCCCAUCUCCUGGCUUUUUUUUUAAUUUAAAUAAAAAAAAAAUUAUAAAAACACAUAAAAUGUAUAGACAAAAUUAAAUUAUGUGUGUUUUAAAGAUUAUAUAAUUGAUAGAACCGAAAAGAUUAAUUAAUUAAUUAAUUUUUCUAGAUUGUAAGAACCAUGGUGUAAAUAGCUCGUCUUGAAAACAAUGAAUAAAUAUAAGUCUAGCCAAAAUAAUAAAAAAUGAAGAAUUAUCACUAGUACGUAUUAUGCUAGUCAGCAUGUUUUUAUUUUAGUCUAUGAAUACAUUGAAGGUGUAGAGAAAAAAUUGAUAAUUUGUUUUCUAAUUUUAAAUAUUGAAAUAAAAAAAACUGAGAUUUUUAUUAGAAGGCUUGACGAAUCUUUGUUCGGUGUCAUUCCAUGGCACGGGUUUGCUCGUUACGGCCAAUUGGGCUUACGAGUGAAUCGUUGUUGUGUUUGCACUGGAUAAGCCCACGGUAUUAUCUAUAUAUAUCAAAACAAAACAAAUUUUGUAUCUUAUUUUAAAAAAUCCAUACCUGAUAUUCUUAAAAAUUAAAUAGAUAUCAUUAUAUUUAAAUUAUACGUAGGUAUUUAAAAGACUACUCUAUAUAAAAAAUAUUAUUUUUUUAUAUGUCAAUGAUAUGAAUUCAAAUCUAUCUCUAAUUGGAAAUGAAAUUAAAAUAUUAAUAUAAUUCAUAAAAAAAUAUAUCAGUUUUGAUACACAACAACUAAGAUUACAAUUGAUAUAAAAUAAAAUUAUUAAAUCUAAUGUCUAUUGAUAAUCUAUUUUAAGCAUCGAAUACAACAAGAAAUCCCAUAAUAAAAAAAAAUAGAAACAAAAAAAUUACAUUAAAAUUAAUUAAAUUCAUAUCCUUGAUUUUUAAUAUAUAUUCUUGAUGAUGAUUAUAGUAAUAAAAAUAAUAUCGAAUCUUGGGUCUAUAAAAUAUUUUAUUUUUCCCUUUUAUAAUAAUUAUUUACAUUAGAAAAAACAUAUUCCAAUUCAUAUUUAUAUUCUUAAUUCCAGUUAAAAUUCAGUAAAUUAGACUUUCAGUUAUUUUCCUGCUAGGUACUGUAACUAACAUAAAAAUCUUACAUAAAAUUUUUAUGUACUGUGAGCGAUGAAAAUAUUUUUUUUCUUAUUUUUUUUCCAUCAAGACCAUAAAAAAUCUUUCACACUUCUGAUAAAAAAAAUCCCUUGGAAGUCCCACUAUAAACUGUGGACGAAAUCAUAUUAAUAUAAUAAAUUCAUAUUGAGAUCGAAUUAAUAUUAGGAUAUAUCAAAAGACGCAGAUAAUUUCUAAGAACAGAAAAUCUCAAUCACCAUUCAAAUUGAAAGAUUCUGAUUUGCUCUUCGGGCAAAAUCUCUAUCGGAUAAAAUAGUUUGUUUGGAUUUGAUACAAAUUUUUAAUUUUUAAAUUAGAGGAUUCUUUUGUCUUUUCUUGUUGAAAUAGUUCAAAUACAACUUUGAAAUUCUAAAUAGAUUUUUUAAAAAUCAUUUUUGAGAAGAAUAGAGAGAAAAAAAAUAAGAGGAAAGAAAGUAGAUCUAACAUGCUUGUCAGACCCGACUAAUACGGGUCUGUUGGAUUUGGCAUGUUUGUCAGGCCCAACCAACAUGAAUUCGACAUACUUGCCAAACCACUUAAACUUGGAUCAGGCAUGCUUAAUGUUAUAAGUAUUAUUAUAUUCAUUAUUAUUAAUAUAAUUAUUAAUAAUUUUGAAAAAAAUAUUAUUAUUAUAAAAAAACCCUUAAAUUUGAUUUAAAUGGUAAAAAUAAAAAUUAUUAGUGUUGAUGUUGUUUAUUAUUAUUGUUAUUGUUAUUUUUGUUAUUGUUAAUAUUAUUAUAAAAUUGAAAACAAAUACUAUUGCUAUUGAAAAAAAACCAAAAAUUUGAUUUAAAUGGUAAAAUUAAAAACUAUAAUAAUUUAAAAAAAAAUCAGGGAAAAAAAUAAAAAAAAUAAAAGCAAAAGAAUUGAAUUGAAUAAUACCGUGGGUCUGAAAUACUUACUUGACCCAACUAAUAUGGGUCUGACAUGUUUACCGAACCCAAAAAUAUGAGCGUGACAUGCUUGCUAGACCUAACCAAUAUAGGUCAGACAUGCUUGUCAAACCCACUUAAACUUGGGUCAGACAUGCUUAUUAUUAUCACCAUCACCAUUACUAUUAUUGUUAAUAUUAUUAAUAUAAUUAUUAAUAAAUUAAAAAAAAUUAUUGUUACUAGAAAAAAAAUUAUAAAUUUGAUUUGAAGGGUAAAAUAAAAAAUUAUAAGAAGUUUAAAAAAAAUAAAAGGAAAAAAAAUAAAAAAAUAAAAAAACUUAAUUAAAAAGUACACCAAGGUGGAUUUGACGUGCUUAGACUUUUAGCAACAAGCAGGUUGAUGCAGCAGCUAGAAGAGGUAUAUUUUUCCCUCACUUUUGUAUUAAAUGUUUUUGAAAAUGCUUAUCUAUUUUUAUCUGUUGAAUCAUAAGGCUUUUGUGUUAGUGUUUUUAUUAUUAGGUCUGUAGGUGUGCUCUAGCAGCAUGCAUUACUGCUGUUCUAUGUAUUUUGUCUUCUAUUUAUGUCAAACCUUCCAUUAAAAUAAUUUUAAAAGAUAUUAUUUUUUCACUACUGUUUAACUUACUUUAAUUUUAAAAGAUAUUAUUUUUUCACUACUGUUUAUUAAUAUUUUUUAUGAAUGCCUGUAACGUGUAAAAACGAGCAAUCUAACUAGUAAACUCUAACUAUCAUAAGGGCAUGCGCAAGGCCUACGGGUCACACUUAAGGCCAACUGGGCUCACGUUCGUUGGCGAAUGGUGCAAGAUCGGCUCUAGCAUGCAAAUGGACUAGAUGGGCUUGGCCCAUCUAGCAGCUCACGUGCUUCGAUCAGUGUGAGAUUUAAAAAAGAGAAUUAAGCCAGAGAUCUGCAGCUUGUGUCCUGUUAAGACAGAGCGAUGGUAUUGGUGGUUGGUCAGUCCUAGUCUAACACAGCUUCGCUGCUACUCCCCUGUUAAGAAAAAAACAGAAAAUGUGAAAGGUCACUUUUUUUACGUUCAUGUCUCCAGUCGGUGGGACCACCCGACCGUUGCAGCUGCCACACAACGUCAGCUAGCACAUUCACACUCAGAGUCGUAGCUAAGAACUUGUAAAGUAACAGCGCCGAGACAAUCACCCAUCAGGUCAUGACUUGACUUUAAAUCCGGCUCCUAUAUAUUUUUCCAGGUCAGUUUUUUUUACCCCCCCCCCCCUCUCUCUCUCUCUCUGUAUACUGCAGGGCUUGAAUUUUGAAAGUGCCACUUUGGCUAGAAUUCUAUCGUUUCUUUAUUAUAUUAGGAUCCAGAACCAAAUUAUUUUUUAUAUUUUUAUAUUAUUUUGAUGAUCCAAUGUUAAAAUUUUUUAAAAAUAUAUUUGCAAGUAAAAAAUAUUAAAAAAAUAACAAUUACAAUAAUAUUAAACACCUGAAGAACGUAAAAUUUGACAAGGCUAACUGGGUUUUAAAUUUGAUUAUAGAUCUAUUGCCUUUUUUUUAAACUAAUGUUCUGCCGGGGUUCUGAGUUGAUGCAGAGGUGAGAACUCCAAUAACUUACUGGCAUGUAAAUACGGAGAAAACAAGGCAGGCCAGUUCACCAAGGUUUACCAAGUUGCACGGUGGAAGACAAAACCUAACCUUGUCGCACUGGAUUUAGGCUUCCUUGGUGACCAUACGCUAUUCACUCAAGUACAAUUACAAGUAGUAAUAAGGGCCCUAAUGAGAGCUUUUGCUCCCAGUCAUGCAGACCUUGGAGCGUUUUUUUAAUUUAUUUUAAUUACUUGAUAGGAAAAGAAUUUGGCACAACAAUUAUGCAGAAAGCUUUUCAAUAUUUUUUCUCUAAUCUUAGACAUUAAUUUGCAAAUUAAAAGACCAAUAAGUGCUAAAAUCACAAUAAUAAAAUCUUGGGAAUUUUGAAAUCUCACAUGAGUACAAAAUUCACAAGAGCUAGAAUCAUAACAACAAAUAUCUGGUGCAAUUGGAUGUACAGAAUUUUAGCUCUCGAUGCAUCAAGCUCAUAGCAAAAUGGUCCCCAUCUCCACCAUCCCAGAUACUUACAACUGUAGAAUUUGAAUUCUUUAAGGCACGAAAUCUGCUGGUCCACUGCUCCAUAGUGCAUUGUUUUGACGUGGUCAAAUUAAAUUGCAGAAUCAAAGUACACGACUUCUUGGUACUGUGCAGAAAACGUGAAAACCCUCAUCUUUAUUCGUACAAUUCACAUUGCAGGGCUCAAAUGCAAGAGAGAUCAGAUCAGCUUGACAUGCCACAGUACAGGGCUUAUCUGGUGAGUAGUGAGUGAGCUCGUGAGAGUUUUUUUCGUAUCUGUUUUUGAGGCGAUGAACAACGGUAGUGAUUAGCAACGAUGAAUUGUGGUGCUAGCCUGCAAGAAGAGAAUUAGAACUUGGAAGAAAGCAUGACAAGCACUACAAAGAGUUGUCUAUUCUUGUUAACAAACAAUUAAUAGAGGGGAGGGACCCUUGGCAUAUGAAAAAUUUUCUGGUACUCUUUAACUUGCUAAAGAAGACUCUGAAUGGUCACAAUCACUUGAACCAGGAACAACAACGUCAUGCAAUCUAUUGCCAGACUUGUCGUGUCCUGGCCCAUUAACUUUCAGAGAGCUGGAAAGAGGUUUGGUUCCUCCACCUUUGUUUCUUCUCAAUUUAUGUCACAGAGAUGAGAGAGAGUCUGAUCGCUGGAUGACAAGGGCAGGCAUUAAAGCCAUGAUCAAGAGAUAAAAAGCCUUGUAGUGUAGACUGAGAUUAUGCAAUUGUCAGGGAAGGAAAUGAGGCCCCAUGUACAAAUUCAAGUCCUUUUCAUUCAUAGAUUUUUAAGGAAAUUGAUAGCAGCUAAGCAGAGUAAGAACUGGAAAGCCUAGAAUAUAAAAAGUAAAUGUGUAGGUUUGCUAAGAUCUACUAAGAUCAUCUGCUAAUAAGAGCAUUUACGCAACAAACACAGCUGUGUAGGUCUAAAUCAAUUACCAUUUACAUUUGUAAACACUCAUCGCAUGUCCUCAUCACAUUGCCAAUUUCAAACGCACAGAUUUCAAUGACUUGUGGGUCUGCAUCAAACACCAACUGCAGUACCUAGGAGAUUAUGACCCCAUUUACAACCUUCAGUUCUCGUUUAUCAUUCUUGCUGCCUGCAAGUCACAGCAAAAAAAAAGAGGAAAAAAAAACCUGAUCCCAUUACAAACUUAAAGAUUAUGACCCCAUUUACUACCUUCAGUUCUUGUUUAUCAUUCUUGCUGCCUGCAAGUCACAGCUAAAAAAAAGGAAGAAAAACUGAUUCCAUUACAAACUUAAAGACCCACACAGGCCAUGGGUCCUGAAGCAGAGCACCACAAGAGGCCUCAUCAAGUUUUACGGACAUCAACUUUACCCUGGAUCUAUUUUCUUCAUUGCAAUCUACUAUUACAAAGUACUAAGAACACAAGAAAUAAAACUAAAACUCAAAAGAUUGAAAUUUAUAUAAAAGAGUUACAAACACCUAAGAGAAAGAAACUUUUCCUUUCACUUGUUUUUUACAAUUUGUGAGACUCAAGAACUUCAAACCUAUAACAAAAAGCCAACAGAAUACAAAAGGAAACCAUAUAUCUAAAUGACCAAACUGAAAGACUACAACUAGUUACAGGCUUCAAUGGACCUGUCAAUGCACAAUUGCAAUAAAAAAAAAAACUAAUUACCCUUCCAGUUCGUGAUCUGAUCAAGAAGCACCCCCCAACAAUCCCAUUCGAUGGCGUAUAAUACAAACUAGAACAUUGUUCCACACCAGAGAAAAAUUACCAGGUGGAAACUUAAAUCAAAUUCAAGUCCAGCCCCAUCGAUUAUCGCCAUGACGAAACUGUGAGUAGUGGCACCUCAUUCCAAGCUAAAGUUAAGAACCCAGGCUGAGAAUCAUCAAGAGAAUACAAAUCACUGUAAUUGCAAUACCAUAAGAGUAUCUUAGCCUGACUCAUUGCAUAAUGGCUAAGCGAAACCGAUUCAAAACCUGAACUUUCCAUUAAAACUCCCCAUUGAUCUUUAUCCUCCAUCCUUUCCCUUCUCAUUCCAGGCUCCUCUGGCCCUACAACACUAGAAAUUCUCUGACCCAAUAACAACCUCUCAACUUGAAGCCUCUCUGGUGAGUCUCUACUCAAGUUAGGCUCAAGAGACUCAAAAACAGCAGUGUAGUAUCUCAAAGCAUUCUUAAACCGAGUCAAGUACCCAACCCGGUUCAAACUAGCUUCAUAUUCACCAAGAGUGACAAUUAUCGGGUUCAACGAUUUAGCCAUCUUUAAAGCAGUUUCUACAGCAACUGGAGACUCAUCCAAUAAAUUAUACAAUUGAAGCAUGAAAUUAACAGCCAAAACCUCAUCCGGCUCGGCUCGAAAACAAGAUUCAUUUAACUCCUGAAUUGGAGUCAGAAUAGGCUCAAACUCGAAAUUCAAACCAAGAAGCUUGGCAUAAUCAAGAAGCCUAUUACCAGUAGCUAAAAGAGAGGCAGCUGGAUUCUUACCAAGAACUGGAGCAGGUAUACCUGAGAUCCGAAUUCUAACAGGUUUUCCAGCUGAACGUGUAGCUAAAGCUUGUAAAAGAGCAGCCCAUUGAACUCCAUGAACAAUACCAAAAUCAACUAUGUGAAUCUUGCUUGCUUUCUCAGUUGCCUCAAGAAUUGCUUGGUUUGCUGUUAAAUGAGCAAACUUUGAAUAUGGACAGGCAUCAUUCAAAGCUUUAUAGGACAGAGUGAACUCUUCACUUGUCUGAUCAAAAUUUUUCAAGACAUCAAGCUCUCCUACAGCAACUCUUCGGCAUAAUCCUUCCGCGAAGUAGAAACCAGCUCGCUCAACUGGAUCACCGUUUUCACUCACCAAGUCCUUGCACUUAACCAACGAUUUCACGGCUUGAUCAGCUUUGGACUCGACAAGUUGAGCGCACUCAACAAGCGCUUUCAAAACCGGCGAGGAAGAUAACUGUACAAUUUCCUCUGACCCUCCGACGGUUUCAUUUUUUACUGUUGGCGGAAGCAGUGGCGGGGGUGACGUUGUGGGCUUGAUUUCUUGAGGAGGAGAUGGGGCGACCCAGAGCGAAUUAGAGAGAACCCCGUUAAGAUCAGACGGUGGAGAGCAGCCAACAGUAAGUCGACUGGGGCAAGUAUUAAACGGAUCAGAAGUGUACAUCCCAAAAUCAGUACUGUUUUGCCACGCGUCACAACCAGAAGGAAGAUUAGAACUAUCCGUUGAAUCUCCACCGUUCAUUAAACUGUCCAUCCACUCAUCCGAGUCAAACUCACCACCAGCUCCAGUAAAAUAAGGAAGCCGAAACCCGCUUGAGUGGUGCUGCUCCAUGUUCGAGAAACUAAACACAGGUGGGUCACCUGUUUCUUGUCCACUCUGAAAAGGGUCAGAGAAAGCAGCCGGACCCGAGAGCCCGUAACCCAAGUUUGGGUUAGCAGACAUUAUAUUAGUCGGCCAAGGAUUUAAAGAAAAUGGGUUUAGGCCAAGAAAUUGUUGCUGUUGGUUAUGGUGGUGGUGGUGGCUUUGUUGCUGCUGUUGUUCUUGUUGUUGUUUUUGCUUAAUAACUUGUUGGGCUAUUGCCAUUAGAUUUCCGCUAUCUGCACACAUAUAUGCCAUUCUCCAGCCAACCUUCUUACCUGCAAGUUACGUUGAAAGAAGACAUUGUUAGUAAAGAAAGAGUGACAGAAUCUUGAAAUGGUGGAUUUAUAGUGCCAUAAAAAAGCAGUCAAAGAAAGAAAGAAGCAGGGAGAGAGAGCACGUACUUAGAGAAGAGGGCAGUGAAGGAAGAGGAUCACCAGCUGGAUUUGGUGAUGAUGGGAGACAGUGGGGAGGGGGGGGAGAGAGAGAGGGAUUUUUAAGUUCAACGUUUAGAAUAGAGGAGGAGGAGGAGGAGGUGAUGGACAAACGAUGAUUAAAGUCUACACAGACGACGAGUGGGGGCCACUUAUGCGAUUGAAGAAAAUAUUAGUUUAUGGUUUUUAAAUAGGAUUUUAAUUUAUGGUGCUAUAAUGAGAUACGGAGCAAAUUGUAUUUCUUAGGGUUUACAUUUUAUUUUAUUAAAAAAAAAAUUGGGAAGAGCAAUUUGUAUUUGGUAUUAUUAUGUAAAAAAAAUAUUUUUUAAUUAAAAAAUAUUUUUUUUAUUUUUUUUACAUUAUCACAUUAAAAUCAUCAAAAAUAUUACAUUAAUUCUUUUAAAAUAAAAAAGUUAAAAAUUAUCACAAUACAAAUCAGUCUCUUGAAAUAUUAUGUAUUCUAGAAUUAAUAUCCUUCUCUGAUUCUAGAAAAAUAAGAUGUAUAAAUAAUUAUCAUGAUAGAUUUCAGUUUGAUGUGAACUAAUUAAUUAUAUAAUGAAAUUGUAUAGUAUUUAGUAUGAAUUAAAUCUGAGUUUAAAAAAAAUCAAAAUUGAUUUGCCAAAUCUUUUAAACAAAUUCAUUUUUUAUGAAAUAAAAAAUUCACAUUUAAUUGCCAGCAUAUAGACAUACAGAUACGUAAAGGAUUUUAAUUUCUUGAUUAAUCAAAUUUAUAUUUCAGUGAUCUCAACAAAAUGAGGUAAUAUUAAUUUAUUUGCUAGAACAUUUGACUCCCUACUUUAUUUUUUUCUUUAUAAAUCUGUACAUAUAAAAAAUAGAAUACGAUCUCAUAUUUAAAUAGAAUAUUUCUAAAUUACUUACAUCACAUGCUCAAAUUAUUCAUUUAACUCGUGAGAAUAGCCAAGCUUUAAAUUUAUGUUAGAUUUAAAUUAUUCGACUAAAGGGUAUGCCAAAAUAAGUAUUUUGAUAGUUCAAAAGGAUUUUGAACGGUAUGGGUCAUUUUGAAUCCAUAGAGAAAAUAGAUGGAUAAUAAUGUAUAACCAAGGCUUAAUCCAGAUGAAGUUUAAGAAUGUAAAUCAUUAAUGGAUUUAUAUAAAUUUUGAAAUCUUGUUUCUAAAUGGUCAGACAACGAUUGAAUUUUACAGUAGUACGCUUAGCAUUGAUUUAACAAGUAAGGUUCAAGUAUUAAAAUUAAAAAAAAAUACAUAUAUUUGGCCGGCUAAAUAUAUGUAUUUUUUUUUAAUUUUAAUACUUGAACAUGAGAGAGUCGGGAUUUUUUUAUUGAAUAAAGGUUGUAAAUUUCAUUAGCUUAAAAAAUAAAACAAGCCAAAACAAAAUUUAUUUUACUCGAAUCUCAACCUAACAAAAUUUAUUUUACUCGAAUCUCAACCUAACAAAAUUUAUUUUACUCGAAUCUCAACCUAUUCUGGAAAUUCUUCUUGGAACGUUCUAUUUAAUUCAUGUUUCUUCUUUAAUUUCAUCUUCAAAAACUUGGUUUAUUGCUUAUUGUGGUUUACUUCUUUUUUUUUUUAUAGUUAUUCCAGUCUCAUGAUCCAUGUCAUAGGUUCGAAGAGUUGACUUGAUUUUUUUUUUCAAUUAACUUUUUUUCUCCACUUUCAUAAUUCAACAUUUGUUGAUUAUGAGUUAAGCUUUGUCAUUUUUCUCAGUUUUUUUCUACAAACUUAUCUUAGUCUCAUGACCCAAGUCAGAGGUUUCACCAGUUAACCUAAGUAUACUUAAUUUAUUUUAUUGUGUCCUAUUUUUUAGUUUGAUUCUUUCUCAAUCUCAUCAUUCAACAAUGAGUUUAUUGAGAAUUGAGUUUCAUAAUUUAUUUUGAUUUGCUUUAUUUUGGGUUAUUACGGUUUAAUGACUCAGAUUAUGAAUUUGAAAGGUUGACCCUAGUUAAUCCAAUAUGUUAUCGUCCCAAUAUUUUUUUCUAAAAAAUAUGUUGUCUUAAAUUUUUCCUAGUCAAACUAUAUUUUUAUCAGUCAUCCCGGUUGUCUUUGGUCCCAUCGAGUCGUUCAAAUCAUAUCAGUUUAACUCCCACUUUUUUACUUGUGUUUGAAACUUGAUUUUCAUAGUUUCAAGUUGAUUUGUCUUUGGAGUUUAAUUGAAAUUAUGUUUGUUGAAUUAAUAUUUUGAAUUAUAUGUGUGUGUUAAUAUUAUAUGAAUAGUACAACUCCAAAAAGACAAACUGAAACACUUUGAAACCAAAACUUACCGUUUCAAUUGAAAAAACAUAACACCAACCAAAACAAUAUUAAAAACCUUGAAAUAAACUGAUGCGAACUUCUUGAUCACAUGGUCAAAUAACCCACAAUGAAGAUGAUACAACUCUCGGAAAGUCAAGAAAUUAGGUUUAAUAGAAGUGUAACACAAUGAAAACUUGUCUUAAGGCACCAACAUUAGUGGAAUAAGAAACCCCUGCCCAACUAAUAUCAUUUUGCGAACAAGAAGUAUAAGGAAAAUGCCACAAGAUCAAUUAUAUCUUGAUAAGUCAAAUUUGUUCUUUAUCACAUCAAAGAAAACGUGUUGCAUCACGCAAAACGCAAGUUUAUUUAAUAGAUCUAUCAUUCUUAAGAAUUUCAGCUUACAAAACCUUAUAUAAUAGUUCAACUAAUAACCCUAAUGAACCUAAAACUUGUGGGCUAAUAUAUACCCACUUAUAAUGAACUCAAGGCAUGUUAAUUAAGUCCAAACAUAAAAAAAUAUAAUAAAUAUAACACAUAAACUAAAGUUGGUGCACCUGAUUAAACAAAAUAACUCGAACAAAAUUUAAACAAUGUCAUGAACAAAAUUCUCAUCCUAAAAAUACUAGGAUCUUUAUUGCCACCUUUAGAUAUUCAAAAUAAGCUAGGAAAUUGAUUGGUAAAGUUGCCUUCCUUUUAGUUUCCUUGUUUGUCUAGGAUAAUUAAUUGUAACUUUAAAGAAUCCUCUUAAAGUAUGAAAGCCCUUGCCGCAUUCCUUUAACCUUUAUUGUAUAGUUAUGAAACUCCCAAACUAAGCGGUCAAAUCCUUAUAGAAAAAAGAUCAUUGCCAAAUAGAAAUUUUAAAAGUCAAAAGGAAGUAAAUAAUAAAAUUUAUACAGCUUAUUCUGACCUAUAUCGCAAUGUCUUCCCGAAUUCUCACUAACUUGAGAUUUAACCCCAAUAUAAAACAAUAUUUUAGGAAACUAUGGGUAAAGUUUUAGCUCACCCAACGGUCGGAUUGAAAAUUAUGAUUGUUACUAUAAAACUAGACAGUAGACACAAUUACGCUAGAAUUCGAAUUUUAUUGUCCAACCCUUUCUUGGAUAAUAUCAUCAACAAUAAUAAAACACAUUGUUUUCUCCUAACUAGUGUCAUCAUUUGACUUCUCAUAAUCAACAAUAGUAAAACACAUUGUUUUCUCCUAAUAGAGGUGGGUUAUUUUCUUAGUUGGGUCUAAGAGAAGUUGAGUUUUAUGAAGGGUUUUUUGGACCCUUAAAUUUGGGUUUAUAAAAAAAAAUCUCAUCUCAACAAAUCACUUUUAAAAGAUACCUACCAAGUUUACAAGUUGAGUACCUAUCUUAUAAAAACACAGUGGUUUUGUCUUUCUUUUCAAUCGAGGGAUUAUAAAUACUCGAAACCUGAUCGAGUUGGAUAUGAAUAAAAAUUUUAUAUUAAAGUUCGAGUAUAAAUAAUGUCAAACCUGGAUACCUAAAAUAUAAUCAAGUCGAGUAUGAUUAACAAUUUUAUAUUCAAAUUUUGAGUAUGAAUAAUAUUAAACUUGGAUAUCCAAAACUUGAUUAGAUCGGGUAUGAAUAACAAUCUUAGAUUCAGGUUCAAGUAUGAAUAAUGUCAAACUCCAUCAUUAAUAUAUAUUGUCAUCCCAUACAAAAUCCAUGUAUAUACAUUUAAAAGGUUAUUAAAUGCCAUAAACUAGAAUUGUAAUAACUUCUGAGUUUGGGGUGACUUUGUACAAGACUUGAUCAUUGAUAUCAAGUUAACUAUACCGUACCUUUUUUUUUACUUUUAAGAAUAAAAAUUCAAAAUUUUAUUUAAAAAAUAAAAUAUAUAUUUUUCAUGAUAUAAUUUGGCCAAAUUCCGAAUCAACAAAUCAUUUAGUGUAUGUUUGUUGUUGCUAUUGCGUUUGCUUUUAAUGGUAGAGCCAUGUUGAGAAAAUUAGUUACUUCCAUGUUUGGGUUGUCCUAGACUUUAAGAGUGUCAAUAAGUUUGUUUUCUGUUUACCUAGUCAAUAAGAGUUUGUUUUGAACGUUGGAUAGUGUGCCUAUUUUCAUGUUGCUUUCAGUAUGUAUUAGUCUAUUUAUAGGCUGAUUGUUUAUCAAUAAAAUGAACAAGUUUAUCCUCUGCUUUCUUUAUAUCCUCUGCGUCUUAUUGUUACGUGUAAAAACAUCCUAGAGGUACUUUGUUUGUAUCAGUGGUAUCAGAGCAGGGUUAAGUUCCUCAAAAAAAAGUGAAAUUGAUAGCUUCUGAAAGUUUUGUACAACCUGUCAUUCCACGCUUUGAUGAUCACUAUGACCAUUGGAGCAUGCUCAUGGAGAAUUUCUUGAGGUCCAAAGAAUAUUGGACGGUUGUUGUUUCUGGAGUAGCAGAACCAGCAACAGAUGUUGUGCUGACCGUGCGCAACAGACAGAGCUUGAAGGGUUGAAGUUAAAGGAUCUCAAAGCAAAGAAUUAUCUCUUCCAAGCUAUUGAUCGCUCAAUUUUGGAAACCAUUCUUUGCAAAGACACAACCAAGCAUAUUUAGGAUUCUAUGAAAAAGAAGUACCAAGGUACAACAAGGGCUAAGAGGCAGCAGCUUCAAGCACUUUGUUCAGAGUUCAAAUUGCUUCGAAUGAAGUCAGGAGAAUCAAUUACAGACUAUUUUUCAAGAACGAUGGCAAUCGUUAACAAGAUGCGGAUCCAUGGUGACAAGACAGAGGAUGUUCUCAUUGUUGAGAAUAUUCUUCGAUCCGUGACACCAAAAUUUAAUUUUGUUGUCUGUGCUAUAGAAGAAGCUAAUGAUGUUUGUUUACUGUCAAUUGAUGAAUUACAAAGUUCUUUGUUGAUUCAUGAACAAAAAAUUAACCAGCAGGAAAAAAAAAAGAACAAGCAUUGAAGGCCUUAUCAGAAAAUCACUCUACACCCAGUAGAACUUAUAGAGGUCGAGGUAGAGGAAGCAGAAACAACAAUGAUCGUUGGAACCAACAACAAAAUCAUCAUCAUCAGAAGAGUCAAUUUCAAGAAAGAGGCAGAGGACGUGGAGGCCAUCACCCAACAACUCAUAGUUCAAAGUCAGCAAACAAGUCCAAUGUUGAGUGUUUCAGAUGUCAUAGGUAUGGCCAUUAUAAAUCAGAAUGUCAAACUGAUUUGAAUAAACACAGUGGAGAUCAAACUAACUUUGCAGAAAAGGAAGAAGAGGUGUCUCUUUUGAUGGUGUGUCACGUGAAGGAAGAAACUUAACAAAAUAUGUGGUAUUUAGACACUGGUUGCAGCAACCACAUGUGUGGAGAGAAGGAGACAUUUUCUUCCUUGGAUGAAUCCUUUCGCAGCUCUGUUAAAUUUGGUGACAACUCCAAAAUAUCUGUUAUGGGCAAAGGAAAGGUAACAAUUCAAACCAAAGGAAAUUCUACCCACAUUAUCGCUAAUGUUCUUUUUGUGCCAAAUUUAAAGACCAACUUGCUUAGUGUGGGUCAGUUACAAGAAAAAGGAUAUGAGAUUUUUUAUCAAAGAUGGAGUAUGUCAGAUUCAAGAUGCAAAGUUGGGCUUAAUUGCUCAAGUUAACAUGACGGCGAAUCAUAUGUUCCCACUUUAUCUCCACAACACAGCUCAUUUGUGUUUCUCAGCAAAAUUAACAGAUGAGUCAUGGCUAUGGCAUUUUCGCUAUGGGCAUUUGAAUUUUGGCGGAUUGAAAACACUACAACAAAAGAACAUGGUGACAGGGCUUCCUCAAAUUACAGCUUCUUCUCAAGUUUGUGAAGAAUGUGUUAUUAGCAAACAACAUCGUAAUCAAUUCCCACAAGGAAAAUCCUGGAGAGCGAAGAAAGCAUUGGAACUUGUUCAUUCCGAUAUUUGUGGGCCAAUUACACCACAUUCCAAUGGAGGUAAAAGAUAUUUAAUUACCUUCAUUGAUGAUUAUAGUCGGAAGUUAUGGGUUUAUUUUUUGCAAGAAAAAUCUGAAACUUUUGUAGCUUUUAAAAGCUAUAAAGCGCUUGUUGAGAAAGAAGUUGGGCACCCAAUAAAAGUUCUUCGCACGGAUCGCGGUGGAGAAUAUAACUCACAUGAAUUUGUAAUUUUUUGUGAGAACCAUGGAAUCAAGAGACAACUUACAGCAGCUUAUACGCCCUAACAGAAUGGUGUAUGCGAGAGGAAGAACCGCACUAUUCUGAAUAUGGUGCGAAGCCUUUUGAUAAUAAGUGGCAUUCAAAAAAGUUUCUGGCCUGAAGCAGUUAAUUGGAGCGUCCAUAUAUUGAAUAGAAGUCCCACACUUGCUGUCAAAAAUAUGACACCAGAGGAAGCAUGGAGCGGAAGGAAACCUGAUGUAAAUCAUUUUUGGGUUUUUGGGUGUAUUGUCUAUACCCAUAUUCCAGAUGAGAAGAGGAGGAAGCUAGAUAACAAAGGAGAAAAAUGCAUUUUUCUUGGUGUUAGUGAUAAGUCAAAAGCUUAUAAAUUAUACAAUCCUAACACCAUGAAAAUUGUCAUCAAUCGUGAUGUAGUAUUUGAUGAAAAAGAAACCUGGUCAUGGAAUCAAAAUGUUGUUAAAGAAAGUAUUCCAGCAGAUUUUGAUGAUCAUGAGAAAGGGCAGCAGCCUAUGGAGAAUGAGCAAGAAGUGGAAGUCACUCAAAAUGUUCCAAUUGAUCAAAGCCCACUUAGAGCUGAUUCACAAAGAUCUCAACGUGUUCAAAGAAAAGCCGCAUGGAUGACUGAUUAUGUGAUAACUGGAGUUGAUCAAAGUGAUGACCCACUUACACAUUUUGCUCUGUUUUCAUAUUGUGAUCCUACCAUUUUUGAAGUAGCUGUCAAAGAACCAAAAUGGAGAAAGGCUAUGGAUGCUGAGAUUAUAGCUAUUGAAAGAAAUGAUACAUGGGAGCUGUGUCAUCUUCCAAAAGGGCAAAAGACAAUUGGUGUAAAAUGGGUUUACAAGACAAAGCUGAAAGAGAAUGGUGAGGUUGAUAAGCACAAGGCAUACUUGGUGGCUAAGGGCUAUAAGCAAGAGUUUGGUGUUGAUUAUAAAGAAGUAUUUGCUCCGGUUGCAAGGCAUGAUACAAUCAGAUUGGUGAUUGCUAUGGCAGCUCAAAACUCAUGGCCUAUCUUCCAAUUGGACGUGAAAUCAGCUUUCCUCUAUGGAGAUUUGAAAGAAGAGGUAUUUAUCGACCAACCUCCUGGUUAUGUAAAACUUGGCAAUGAGCAUAAAGUGUAUAAGUUAAAGAAAGCUCUAUAUGGAUUAAAACAAGCUCCAAGAGCUUGGUAUAAUCGUAUAGAAACUUAUUUUUUGAAGGAAGGAUUUCAAAAAUGUCUUUAUGAACAUACACUUUUUAUAAAGAUUGAAGAUGAAGGAAAAAUGCUCAUUGUUUGCUUAUACGUAGAUGAUUUAAUCUACACUGGAAACAAUACAGCCAUGUUUGGAAGUUUUAAGAAAUCCAUGAUGGCUGAAUUUGAGAUGUCUGAUCUUGGCAUGAUGCAUUAUUUUUUUGGCAUUGAAGUGGUGCAGUCUUCUAUUGGCAUUUUUAUUUCCCAAAAGAAGUAUGUGCAAAAAAUCUUGGAUAGGUUUCAGAUGACGGAUUGUAAUCCUGUAAAUACUCCAUCUGAGUUUGGUAUGAAGCUGCACAAAGAUAAUGGAGGAAAGAAAGUUGAUGACACUCUUUACAAACAAAUAGUGGGGAGUUUAAUGUAUUUGACAGCAACAAGACCUGAUAUAAUGCAUGUUGUAAGUGUGAUUAGCAGGUACAUGAAAUGUCCUACAGAGAUUCAUCUCUUGGCUGCAAAAAGAAUUUUUCGUUACUUGCAAGGUACUAAGGAGUUUGGGCUGUUCUACAAGAAUGGAGAAAAAUCAAAGUUGCUUGGCUUUACAUAUAGUGAUUAUACAUGAGAUUCAGAUGAUCGAAAAAGCACAUCUGGGUAUAUUUUCAUGAUGGGGACAAGAGCUGUUUCAUGGUCAUCAAAAAAGCAACCUAUUGUGACAUUAUCAUCCACCGAAGCUGAAUUUGUUGCCGCAACAACUUGUGCUUGUCAAGCUAUUUGGCUAAUGAAAAUCCUCAAAGAGCUGCAUUUCAAGGAGGAUGGACCUACUCAGAUUUAUUGUGACAACAGUUCAACAAUAAAGCUUUCAAAAAAUCCAGUUUUACAUGGUCGAAGCAAACAUAUAGAUGUGAAGUAUCAUUUCUUGAGGGAUCUCACGAAUGAUGGAGUCAUUAAUCUUAUUUACUGCAGAAGUGAAGACUAGAUCACUAAUAUUCUAACCAAGCCUCUCAAGUUUCCUACAUUUCAGAAGCUCAGGAAGUUACGUGGUGUUUGCACUUCAAAUGAUUCAAUUUGAGGGAUGGUGCUUCAAAUUUUGACUCUUAUUAAACUGAAUGUUAUGUUUGGAACAUCAGUUUAAGGGAGGGAUUGUUGAGAAAAUUAGUAACUUCCAUGUUUGGGUUAUCCUAGUCUUUAGGAGUGUCAGUAAGUUUGUUUUCUGUUUACCUAGUCAAUAGGAGUUUGUUUUGAACGUUGGAUAGUGUGCCUAUUUUCAUGUUGCUUUCAGUUAUGUAUUAGUCUAUUUAUAGGCUGAUUGUUUAUCAAUAAAAUGAACAAGUUUAUCCUUUGCUUUCUCUAUAUCCUCUACGUCCUACUGUUACGUGUAAAAAUAUCCUAGAGAUACUUUAUUUGUAUCAAGCCAUUAUUAAAAAAAAACCGCUGAAAAAACAUGAAUUUAAAUAUGAAUUUACUGUUUUUUAAAGAAUUGUGCCAUACAACAAACUCAAAAACAAAAACAAAAACAAACACCCAUAAGCUUAAUUAAAAAGAAUUUAAUCUUAAAAAAAACUAAUCUGACAAAAAUGUAUCUCAAAAUUAAUUUUUGUACUUCCGCAACCUCAGUUUUUGAUGGCAUUUGCGCAGCUUCUUUCUGUUUACUGGGACUUGGGAAUCGCGGUUGUUGUGCUCGUAGGACACUUCCUUCUCGACAUGACAACAUCAGGUCAUCAACGUCCACGUGUACCACUUUUUUUUUUUUCUUCUUAAAAAUAUUUUCUCUCUCCUUUUCACUCCCGCUCUAUUCGGGUACCUUGACUUGGGGCCCACAGCCCACUUGACACGUCGAUCGUUAUACGGCGGGUCGGUGUCGCCGUCUUAAUGACGUCAUCUGUUGUGAUCUUCUUGGGGAAUGUAAAGUAUAUCUUUGCCGUCCAUUUUGGACAUCUAGCGUCCUCAUUUACCAAAAUGGAACCGCGCCACUUACUGUAGCUGAAAACGACGUUACGAGUACAGUACCUUGGCAGGAUAAUUUAGAUAAAGCAUCCAUCACCUGCAUCAUUAUGCUAACACGUAUGCACUUUCUUUGUUUGUUUUAGCUAUGAUUAAUAGUAAUUUUUUUAGUUAAUUAAAAACAAUAUCUUAUGCCUAUAAUAUUAUAGAUAUCAAAUAGUUAUUUAAUUAAUUAAUAUUAGCCAUCUUCAAUUUAUCAACUUUUAAUUUUAAAAAUGCCUUCUUUUUUACCAAUUUUCUCCAUCUUAUAAGUUUAAAUCCCAAUUUAUUCUAUAAUUUAGUAUAUUUUAUACUCACUGAAAAUACAAAUUGUAAUUUGAAAAAAUCAAUAACAAAGUAUAAUUUCAAUCAAAUCAUAAAAUAUUAAGAGUAAUUAUAUCAAUUUUAUUUUUAUUACUCUACUUAACCCAUGAUCUAGAAACUUCCGGCCCAAGUUUCAAGAACUAAUGGUUUUAACAGGUAGAUAAUUAUACCGUUGAGGACAAUUGCCCGUUUCUUUUUGCGUAGAUCGACAGGUGUAUCAAGUGGGGUCCCUUUAAGGGUUGUUAAAAGCCUUUCGUUUGGAAGUGGUGAAGAGGUGGAUAAGUAAAAGUAGAGAUAAAAGAUAAAAAGAGAAUAGAAAGGGGAAGAAAACUGAUCCACGGUGAAGAAAGAGGAGGACUCUCUAUUGAUAAAAGUGGGCAGAGCUUGCCAAUUAAGGACCGUUCUUUCUAGGGCGGUUAGGGGGCCCACGUGGACCCACUGUGGGGCCCUGGUGCCGAUGACUAAUUAGGAAAAAGCAGCACAAGACAGGGGUCCACCCAAAGGAGGAGCCAUCGAUCUUGAACCAAUGGAAAUGAUCAUAAAAAGCAACGGUGGAGGAUACUUUGAGGGAGGGUUGCAAGAUGGAAAAAAGUGAAAGCAACCCUAGAUGGGUUAUGGUUUUGGCAUGGAUCUGUGGUGUAUCCACGUCAGGAAGACCCCCGGUCAACUUGCAACGUCUAUAUUUUAUAUUUUUACACACACACACGCACCCCGAUUCAAGGAUGCAACUUUUGAAGUGUGAUAAAUAACAAAACGUCUUGAAUCUUUGAGUGUUCGGUGUUUAUUAUGAUUGGUGAUUUUCAAAAUUAUUUUUUAAUUAAAAAUAUAAUUUUUUUUUUCAAUGUUUUCAUAUCAUUAACAAUAUUUUAAAAAAUAUUAAUUUAAUAUUUUUUUAAGUAAAAAUUACUCUGAAAAGCAGAAGUUAUCACAGUAUCAAACCGGCUAAAAGUUUAUUUGUUUUCCAAACAAAAAACACUCUAAAAAAAUCACUACCAUAAAAUCAAACACUAAAAGUAUUUUUCAAAAAUAGUUUUCACUUGAAAAUAUAUAAAAAUAAUUUUUUUUUUAUUUUUUAUAUUAGAAUAUUAAAAUCAUAGGAAAAUACUAAAAAAAAAAUUAAUUUAAUAUUUUUUUAAAAUUAAAUAUUAAAAAAAAAACAUACAGGUACAAUUUCAAACACAAGGGUAGGUUUGUUUCUAUUGUUAGCAGCCGUGAAGGAAAAUGAAAAUGAACAUGUUGUUUUAACUUCUUUGAAAUAGUUAGCCAUCCUAAAAGGAUUGGCCUUGUAUAUUUGUCAAACAUGACUCUAAUUGGCUCAGGCCAGUCAUGGAGAUAAGGUAUCCAUCCGAUCAAGUUUGACAGUGAUGGAAUGGAACUAUCUUCGAUGAUAAGCACGUGGCACUCUCGAAUUUUCAAAGAUCUUAGAUUUAAGAAUUCUUUUUAAUUAUAUCCUUCGAAUCAAGAUUUAUUUCAUGGAAAAAACAUGUUUGUCACCCCAAAAAAAAUAUGUAUUAACUAUAUGGCUUUUAUUUUAUUUUAUUUCAUGCUCAACCUAAUAUUUUAUAUUGGCUCUACAUUUACUACUAUCUUGGUUGUUGAAUUUUGAACCAAGUAACCCUAAAUCUUGACCGAUUUGAAUCCAAAACGGUGUUUGACAACCAUGUUGUGUCUGUUUUCAACUAUAAUGCAUGCAGAGAUGCCUUUAAUUUUACCUGACAGAAGUUAGUAUAAGAUAUAUAUAUUUUUAAUUGCGGAGAUUGGGAUUUGUUUCAUAAAACGUGGCUAACGGAAACAUUUUAUGCCAAAUUCAACGUGCGGUGUAUUCACUCUCAGGGUUAAUAUUUUAUUGAAAUUGUUCUUACAAAAAAUAUAUAGAAUAGAAAUGAGAUUUUAUUUUAGUUUAUACAGUGGAGAGUUGAAUGAUUAUAAACUAGUCUAAGUUAAGUAGUAUGAGUUUAAGUCAUACAUGUAUGCUCGGCUUGGAUCCUAGAUCUAGAUUUUAAAUCCUCGUUUGAGUGUUUUUUUUUUUUUUUGCUGAUUUAUUUUAGAUUUGGAUUUCAAGUUUAUUAUAAAAUAAUUUCUUGAUCCAUAAAAAAAUAUUUUUUACCACUCUAUAUAUGAAUAUUCAACCUGUGAAUAAAAAGCUGAACAAUUAAUCUUUUUUAUUUUUCUAAAUAGUUUUUUCAAAGGAUAAAAAAUCUAGAUUUAAAACUAAAAAUUAUUAAGUUUUUAUUUAUUUUUGAUGAUGGGUAAUUAAGAUAAAAUUUUAAUUUUAAUUUUAAAAAUCAAUAUAAAUCAGGGUUGAAGCCUCGAAGGGGAGAUGUUUCACACUUUUUUUUAUGCACAACUCCAAUCUCCCUCCCAUAUGUUUUACCUUAUUUUCUCUCAUUUCUAAAGAUUAAGUUCUUUUACUCCAGGAAAGCUUUUGAGUAUAUGGUACCUUGGUUCGAUAACUUUUAAAAUAAAUUUACAUUUUAAAAGUAUAGUUGUUGGAAUUCUAAGAAUUUUAUUGAUUUUAUUUUUUUAUAUUAAAAAAUGAAUAAUAAAAUUUUAAGGAUAAAGAAUCUAUCGUUAACAAUUUAUCAUUAACAAUAAUAUCUUGUUACCUUUUGUGCUUGUGAGUUCCAUUGUCAAGUUCUCUACUUCUAGUUUUAUAUAUAUAUAUAUAGUCAUAUUUGUUUACAUGAAUGCAUGGCUAAGUUUUAUAUAUAAAUUUGCAACUUUGACUUGUUUAGAUACUUUUUUAUAAAAUAUAUAAUAUAAACAAUUGUAAUUUUUUGUUCAAUCUAUAGCUCACAACAACAACAAUGUAUAACGAAAAAAAUGCACAAUACACUUGUAAGUAAUUUGAAUAAUGAUGGUCAAAUACUUACAAACAAGACAAGCAAUUUACCCUAGGUGAUCAAAGGGUAAACUAGUAAAUAAAAUAAACUAAAAAUAAUGAAAUUAGAAAAAAAAAAACAUAAAGUCUGAAUUCCAAAAAUAGAACAACUUAGGCUGAUUUUAUGGGUCCUAUCACGAGAAAAAAAACCCGAAAAUGGAGAUUCAAAGUGGAUUUUAACCUUAAAAUUGGACAAGAAUCGUAUAUAUAUCCUUGCCCCUAAUUAAUUAGACAAGAGUCGUAUAUAUAUUCUCUUAUAGUGACUGAAGCCUUCUUCCCAGAUUAGACGUUGUUGAACAAAGUGAAGCUUAAUUGGAUUGUAUCAUAGCAUUAUUCAAGAUCUUAGUGCAAGGUGUAGAAAAAUUAUAUUUCCAACAAGUAGACAAAAUUUCAUGUCAUAGUCCACCGCUGUUAGUUGUCUGAUUAGACAACAAAUUGUUGCAGAAGUCUAGUAUUCGGCUCCCUUUUUAAUUUUAAUUUUAUUUUUUUUGUGUUGCAUGUUUUUUAAAUUAUUUUUUAUUUGAAAAAAAAUAUUAAAUUAGUUUUUUAUAUGAUAUUAAAAAAAAUCAGUUUAUUUUUAAAUUACAGUUUUCUAUCUUUUUUUUUAGUUUAACGUGAGUGUCCGGGUCAGCUUGCGCGUACCUCGACUAAUCCAACGGGUCCUGAAGUUAACGAUCAUGUAAGCCUCCAGUGGCUAUCAUAUGAGCAACCACAGGGCUCGAACCUGAGACCACACAGGAAACAAACCUCUUGAUCCCAAAUUUUUACCACUAAACCACCACCUAGAUAAUUAACCGUUUUCCAUCUUAAUUAACAUCUUAAUUAAUGGAAAGGAUGUUGUAGGUUUUGCAAAAGCCUACUCUCUCUUUUGUUGUCAACGGUACUGUGAUAAUAGUUAAACUGACAUUAAUAUUUCUUUUGCAAUAAAAUCAGUUUAUUUUAUUUUUAUUCAAUUCACUGUAGUUUUUAUUCAAUUCUUGGCUAUUGCCUUAACCAGGUCUGACUGGCAAAAAAUAUCAUAUUUUGCCAAGAUUUCAGACUUCAAAAGCGAACGACGUGGCAGUCACAGUAGAUAUGUAUUUGAUAUUAGGAUGUAAAUGUUUUUUAAAAAUAUAUUUUUAUAUUAAUAUAUUAAAAUUAUUGAAAAAUACUAAAAAUAAAUUGAUUUAAUAUUUUUUUAAAAGUAAACUUUCAUCUUGAAACACACUCCCGAACUUACAUAAUUAAAAGAAAUUAACAAUACCAUACAAAAAAUGGCAAAAUUAAGCGCAGCAAGAACUUGAAGAUUACUAAAUCAUCCAUGAAAAACCACAAACAAAAACAGUCCCGAUAACUACAAAGUCCACGACGUGCAUUAGCUUCUUUCCUAGGCGAGUCGUAAGGAUUUGGGUCCUCUAGCAAUAUUGUUAGCUUUAGAGGUGGGGUUUGCCGUGAUAGCUUAAUGGAAAGAUAGGGUUUGGUUCUUAUCGUCAAAAAACAAAAAACAAAAAUAAAAUCAGAAGCCCUAUUUCAUGAAUCAAGCUAUUAUUGACCCGAUCACACGCAUGCAAUAAUUAUGUAUCAUGAUUAUUUUGGUGACCAUAAUUAGUUUAAUUAUCAACUACAUUAAAAAAAUAAAUUAAAAGAUAUCAUGAAAAUCCGUGGUUAUAGACACGUCUCACUGUUUAUUGGAAUAGUAAUUAAAAAAACUAAAAAGUAUGGUAAUCAUAGACACAUCUCAUUGGAAUAGUAAAAUUAUAUUUUCACCGUUAAUAAAAAAACUAAUAAAAUUUACAAUUAGGGUUAGAAUUAUGUUUUAAAGAGAAUACAUUGGUUAUUGCAAAGUCGAUUGGGGAUAAAUUGAUCCGAACAUCUUUUCUUGUUACAGUAAAAUAACUAUUUUGCUAUUUAAAACAAAAAAAAUGUUAACCUUUAAGUGAAGGGUUUUUAGUCUUUUUAUUUAAAAAAUUACACAUUUAAGUUAUGGUCAUACCCUUAGGAGAAAAAAAAUAAACAUGCAAAAAAAGGCUUCUUCGUCCUUUCUAUUUUUUUAAACAGUUAAAUGGCAGAAUAACUCUUGGAAUAAAAAAAAAAAGGGGUUGAUUUCAAGGUUGUUUUAUUCUUUUUAUUCUAGUUUUUUAUUAUUUUUGGAUUUGGUCAGGGGCUGUUUGGUAAUUUUCAGUAAUUAAAUAUUAUUAUAAUUUUUUGCCACGUGUCAGCGCGUGAUGCCCCAGCGCCCUUCGGGCGGCGCGUGCGGAGCCGUCCAGUUAACAAAAUCCUCCAUCCGUGAUGGCUUUGGGAGCGACAAAACGUUCUAUUCUUGGUGGUGUGUCGCAUGCUCACGAAGGAGGUCCGGUUGGGAUGAGGUGGAGUUUUUUCUUUCCCUUCUCUCUUUUUUAUCAUGCCCUUGAAAAAUCUUGCCAACCCUUUAAAAAAAAAAGUACUUUAGAUUGUAAUUGUAUCAAUUUUAGCCCUCUUUCUUUAGAUUAUUAUUUUUUUUUUGCUUUUGAUGCUUUUUUAGGUUUAACUUUUUUUCAAUUUCAUCCAUAUGCAUUUUAUUUCAUUUAAUUUUUUUAUCCAAUUUAGUCUCUCUAUUUUUAUUGCUCUUUUCAUGUGUUUUAUAUUUUUCUUGAUUAUUAUAUUUUUACAAUUUUGUCCCAUACCAUUUUAUUGCAUUUGAUUUUUUUAUCCAAUUUUGGUCCUCGUUAUUUGGAUAACUUUUUUUUUCUUAUCCUUUUCUUAGUUUAUUUUGUUUUUCACUUUAACCCCUAAUUUGUUUUCUUUCAUUAGUUUAUAUCAUAUUUAGUCUGCAUUGUUUGGAUUUUAAAUUAUUUUACAGUUUAAUAUUUUUACCUUGUUGUUUUUUCGUGAUUGCCUUCCAACAUGGCAAUCUUGGCCUCAUAACCGGGCUCAAUUUAAGUUCAGCUUUUUUUAGGGGUCCUUUAUUGAAAAUUGAUUUUUUUUUCAAAUUCAUUGUUUGACAUUUAGUUAUUAGGCCCUUGACUUCAUUGUUUGUUCUACUUUUUUUUUUGUUGAAUUAUCCUGAUCUUAUAUCUCGAGUAACAGGUUAGUCAAGUUAACCGUAGUUGACUUAAAUUUUUUUCCUUAAUUUUUUUUUUAUAAAAUUCAUUUUUUUUACAACUUCAUCCUUUAAUGUUAAGUUACUGACCUUUGAGCUAUGUGGUUUUUUUGUUUUUCUUUAUAUUGGGUUAUUUCAAAGUGCAUGUUAGUCAAGUUUAACCCGGGUUAGUUUGCAUUUUCUUUCUCAAUGUUUUUUUUUUAUUGAACUCCAGUCUUUUUUGCUAGGUCCUUCUCUUGAAAGUCUAUUUCUUUACCGCAAUCUCAUGCCGUGAAUGACGGGUUAGUCGAGUAAACCUAAGUUGACUAACAAAAAAUUUCAUUGGUUUUUUUAUGAUUUUUUUUUUAAUUUUAUCAUUUUGUAUUAAAUUAUUUGUCAUUGAGCUUUGUUAUUUUUUCACUUUUCUUUCUGUUUGGUUAUUGUGAGGGCGAGUUGUCAAAUUAACUCGAGUUAGCAUGCAUUUUAUUUCUCAAUGUUUUUUUAUUCAACUUUAAUCUUUUUUGCUAGAUCCUUCUUUUGAAAGUUUUUUUUUUUUUAAUUCAGAUCUAGUGCCAUGAGUGGGAGGUUAGUCGAGUUAACCUAAAUUGAAUCAUAUUUUACUUUAAUGCUCUUUAAGAUUAAAAAAAACAAAAAAAAAAGAAGAAGAAGCAACUUUGGUUCAUGAUCAUUUUUGUUUUUUCACAUUGACUCUUUUUUUUUUGUUAUUUUUAGGUGGAGUGAGGGGUUGAUUUAUCCUUUAACAUUUAAAUAAUAUUAAAAAAGUGGUUGAAGUGUGCAUUGCACAAGUCAACGCACGGAGGAAUGUCGCGGUCUUUAGGCGGGGUAUGUAGCGGCGCUGCUGUCAAACGAAUGCUUCCAAGGCGGCUUCCAAAUCAUCUCAGCAACUUCUCCAUCCUUGGUCAGUGUAUGUCUUGAACAUACCUUUGAUUUGGCGUUAACAACCCCUUUUUUUUCUUCCUCUCUGUUCUCCUUGUUUUGGCGCCUAGCCCUGCAAAUUUUCAAAGCUACCCCUCAAUUUGUCUUGCCUUCAGAUUUGGUGCAUGUUCUUUUGGUUUUUAAUUUUUAUCCUUAGCCCUUGGUUCUUUUGUAAAGUUUUGAUUUUUUUUAAUUUCAUCUUUAAAUCUCAAUUUAUUGUUUUUUUUUUCCACUUUGGUUCUUAUUCUUCUGAAUUUUUUUUCUUAACUCUUUUGUGUAAUUGUUUUUGGUUUUCAAUUUGAUCCCUUAAUACAAAUUUAUGGUAUAUUAAUUUUUUCAAUUUAGUCCUUAUUAUUUUGAUUUUUUUUGUUCCUUUUGUUAAAAUUAUUUUUCUUCUCAAUUUCAACUUUUAGUCGAAGAUUGUGGUUGCCCUCUAAUUUAUUUUUUAUUUUGAUUUUAUUUCUAUUCUUCUAAUUGCUAUUUUUGGGUUUUUUUUUAUGAUUGUUUUAUUUUUUUCAAAUUCAUCAUUCAAUAUUUGAUUUACCAAGGAUUGGUUUUCACGGUUUUUCCAUUUAUGGUAGUUCCAGUCUAAUAACCCAUAUCAUGGGUCUGAUAUGUUAACACGGGUCAACAUCCUUUUUUUCUUGGUUAUUUUCCUUUUGCUUUCAUCGUUUGACAUUAUUUUUUUUUAAAAAAAAUUGACUCUAUAAUUUUCUUCAAUUUCUUUUAUGUCAGAUUAUCUCAGUCUCAUGACUUGAGCUAUAAGUUUUUUAUGUUAAUCCGGGUUGGUUUGCUUCUUACCAUCCAAGUUAUAUAUCUAUCAUGUUAUCUAGGGUUGAUUCACGCUAAUUUUUUAUUUAGUUUUGUGCUUCCAAAAGUGUUUUUUUAAGUUAUCAUGAUUUUUUAAAAAAAAAAUUAUUUAUUUACUAUCAUUGUCAAAAAAAUUAUUUAAAAUAAAUCAACUUAUUAUACUGUUCAGAGCUAUGUCAUUGGUUUUUUAUUUUUUUUUCAAAACGUACUUAUGGUGUCUGGACAUUGUUUUUACUAUGGAAAAAAUAUGGACCGGCUACGUAAUGCGGGCCCACACCUAGUAUAUAAUAUUAUCAAAUACCCUUUCCCUCGUGGAGGAACUUAAAAAAAUGAAAAUGCGGCUGAAAAUGAAAUCAAGACCAUUCAAAAUACAACAGGCACCAUCUAAUUCACUGGCACUUUCCUGGAUGAUAUUUGUGUGUGUGUGUGUGUGUGUUUGUUUACAUAAAAUUUAAUGAUAAAGUUAUAAAAUCUUAUUAACAUCUUCUUGUUAGGAUUUGUGAAGCUUUUGCUCAAUUUGAAUUUGGUAUUUUGCAAGAUAGCUAAAUCUUUUUUUUAUUAUUAUUAAUGUAGAUAUUCAAGUCAGUUUAUGUAUAUUUUGAUUAAUUUCACGGGUCUUGAAAUUAACAAUCAUAUAAAUCUUUAAUUAUACUGAAAUUUAUAAAAGUAAAACUGAUAAAUUCUAUAAACCAAACCUAAAAACUGAUUAAUUAAACGAAAGCCCCUCGUAGUUUGAUAGCUAAAUCUUGUUCUUAUAGUAUGAUGUCACCAUGUGGAAGAUAACGAGUUAACCCACUCAUCAAGCUGUUACCUUCUUUAAUUUGGUCCGUCAUGAAAGGCCGGCUGACCUUCUAAGUUUUAACUCUACGUCCAACUUGGACUCCAAUGCCUAUAGAAAGUCUCUAUCAAGGUUAAAUUUGUAAGCUUAACACCUACCCUGCUGUUUAUUUUUUGUGGUAGCUUCUCCUAAUGACGUUAUAAAUGUCACGAACAGGGCUCACGGGUCCAGUCUUGUCUUUUUUUCUUUUUAUUUUUUUUCGAGUAAUUGAGGGAUGAAGGAUUUUGAAGUUUGAACAAUAGAGCAUGGCCAUUGAAGUUUUAAUGUUGGUGGUUGUAUUUUGAGCAAACAAGAAAGCAAGUGAAUUAUAGGGGACCGAUAAUUUACUGUAAACCACUCUUUUUUUUUUUUUUUAGUUUUUGGUGCCGAGUAUUGACUUUUAGCUGCUUCUACUACUUGGAAGACAGUAGACAAAGAACGCUAAAUAAGAUCAGAGGAAAGUGAUGGCACAACGUGUACUAAGCAAUUUCUCCAUCAUUUUGAUUAGUCACACACUAGGAUUUGUUUCUUCUUAUUUGUUUUUGAUUGCUAAGCUCUUGCAAAACUGUAAUCCUUACUAGGAUAGUGGGUGCAUGUCUUCAUUGCAAACAAGAACAUGAAGUGACGAUCAUUUUUAAAUAAUUCUUUGUAAAUGAUGACAAAUGGUUGUUUUUCAGUCAAAUUUGCAAUGGAUUCAUGUUUUGAUCCGAAGACUGCUAUGGUGGCUUUAAUUGUCCUCACCUCAAGACAAGAUGGAGAGAGACGUCUAUUAUUUAUUUUUUUGUGGUGGGUGACAUUGUUUCUUUGACAAAUCAAAUAAACUACUCAUUACAGCAAUUUCUUUACCUUACUUUCAAAUUCCAUGCUUUUGAAACUAAAAACACAGUCCACUGGUCAUCACAACAAUAGUCAUAAUUAUUAAACAAGACAAUGAUGACUUAAAUGUAGACCACCCAGUAGUUAGUUGUAUACACGAUCGGUCUUUACUUGCCCCUCUAUCGUGAUGUUCUUGUAACGAAUUAUGAUAUAUCACCAAAAAAAAAAAAAAAAAUUGCUAUGAUAGAUUUCGACUUGGACGGUACCUGUUGAAGGCUCUCAUUUAAUCUUUCUGAAGAAAAAAACUUUACUCUUCUCCCUCUAUUGUCUCCAAUUCUUUCAAAACCAGCUCCCAGUGAUCUAUGCUGUUGUUGUAGUUUAGAUUCAAAGAUGACCACUCAUUAUUCAUAAUCCCACCUUGAAUCAGAAAGGAGAAAAGGCAGAAGAGAUGAUUAGCCAUGCCAAAAAGAAUUUCCCACCGAACAAAGCAUCUUCGACCUCAGGAGCCGAAAGCAAUAAAAACCUCUAAAACCAGCAACGAACCCUCUUUUUCUCGGGAAGAUGAGUAGGGAGGACGGGGUUGCUUCCUCCUUUUGGGUUGGGUCAUGGGUGCUAUCCUUCGCAGCAUGUAUCUCUUCCAUCCUUUUCCUCAAUUAUUAGCCACAGCCAGGUUAAUAUCCAUCCUUUCGUUUUUACCCCUUUCCCUACUUCCUAACAAAAAGAGCCUAAAACAAACUUCACAUCCCUACACUGCUUCCAUGUUGAACGGAUUAUGGCUUGGCCCAGGGCACAAAAAUAUAGUAAUGAUAUACGUUGAGGCCUACAUAUUAUCUAACAUUUCCUGGUAAUAGCAUGAUGAUUGGCGCCGAAGAAAACUAAUUGAGAUUAAAAUAAGGCAGUAAGUACACACCUAACACAUGCAACCAAUUAUUAUCUUAUUGACAGUUUUAGGAACAAGUAUGUGAUCAGUACACGCCACCUUAGACCAGUGACUCCAUUACAAUGUAGAAACCAAGAAGUUGGAAAUUGAAGAAUUUCAGACAAAAUUCCAAGCAACUCAUUGCUGGCUGAACUAACAAUGAAUCAGCAUUCACUUACUGCUAAAAAUACAAAUCCAACUUUGAUCGAUUAAGAUAUAUGGAUGAUAUCCAUCUUGAAUUUAGUAGCAUUACGGUCAAAGUGAUGUACCUAAGAUCGAUAAUUUAUUGCAACCGCAGGCUUAUUCUCACCAUGGAGGUUAUCGCAUCUCAGCGAAACCUCUCCACAUGCCAUCCUGGUUCUUUAAAGAUCAAAUAUAUAUCAAUAAACACGAGCCUUUGGUGGGAAGGUCUCAACCUCAUCAUCCAAUGUGUUCAUGUGAACUGGCCUGUAAUCAAGUCGGACCUUCUCCUUCUCCCAAUACCUGCAAAUCCAACAAGAACCGUCGUGUUAACAUGAAUGAAUAAUGAGUUUGACUUGGAUGGAAUCACAAUCCUCCAAACUAACAGGUUGACUCAUCAUUUGAAUUGCUCCGUUUCAGAAUUCAGUUUCUGCUAUGAUAACAGGAAAUCUACAUCUUCGAUUCAAAUAAAUAAUCUUCUGGUAGAAACAAGAUAUAAGACUUACCCCAGAGUGUGCUUCAUCCAUUUCUCAUCAUCUCUUUUCUGCAAAAGCAAAGCAACUUACUUUUAUUGCAAGAAAACUGGAAGCAAAAGAGAAACAAUUAACUUAAGAGAGAACUAGACUAACAGUGAAGUCUUCACGGGCAUGUGCUCCUCUGCUCUCUUUCCUGGCUUCAGCAGAGUGCAUAGUUAUACAGGCAUUUAUCAAAAGGUUUUCCAACUCUACAGUCUCGAUCAAGUCAGAGUUCCUGUUAAAAGACAUGGUAAUUGAAGUUCAAACAACAAAGAAACUGCAAAUAAUUUGAUCAUCAACAGCCUCAACUGUAAUAUACCAUAUUAAACUCCGAUCUUUCACUUUAACAUCAUGAAAGCUUUCCCAUGCUUUAUCAAUCAAAUGACAACCUGCAGAAGUAACAGGGUAGGAAUAAUAAGCAUAGUAAGAUAAAUAUGAUCAAAAUUAAAAUUGCCUCAAAAUAAUGGCAGUAUAAUCAAAUUGAAGCCAAUUGAAAAUUUAAAAUAGUUUAAAAAAUAAAAAAAAAUAAAAUUAGAACUGUGGGACUGGUAUUUGAGUCCUAAGCCCUUCCCUUCAAGUUCAUGUAAUAAUAACUCAAUUUUACAAUUCAUGCAAAAAGGAGAAAAAGAAAGGGACAAGGAAAAGGGAAAAAGAUUGGGACAAUCAAUAUCCAUUAAAUGCAGCUAGAGGAUGGUAUGCUAGAGACCGUAAUGGUUUAAUUUAAUGUACCAACAAGAGGAAGUAGUGAUAGUUCACUUUACUAGAUCAACAUGCAUUCCACAAAACAUGACCUGAGAGUUUUGGAAUUAUAGCAAGACAAAACAGUAGUUCAUGUAAAUUGAGUACCCUCUUCCAAUGUUUCUUGCGUGCGAAACACUGCAGCAUUGCUCUGCAUUAUCCUCUGCAUAUUUAACCGAAUUUGUGAAGUUGGAAUUGAUCCAUUUGAAUUUCUUAGUUUAUCCAGCCGUGCAAUAGUUCUCUCCCCAGCAUCCUUUUCCAAAGGUUUCUGUUUCUCCCCUGCAAUAUGAGAUUUGAAGACAUCAAAUCCUCGAGCCUUUCUUUUUCUUUGUAUAGGAAACUAAAUCCUAACACCUACCCAUCACUAAUUCAUCUACAGCAAUUAAACAUUCAACUUGCCUGGUCUAUGGAUCUCAGCUACUCUAUUUGCACAAGCUCGGCCAAACACAACAAUGUCAAGAAGAGAAUUUGCACCAAGUCGGUUGGCACCAUGAACUGAAGCACAGGCUGCCUCACCAGCAGCCAUUAGUCCAGGAAUAACAGCAUCUGGAUCAUCACCUUUAAUGGUUACUACCUGAAGAACAUAAUGAGCUACAGUUAAGAAAGCAGGAUACUGAAAAUGAAUUGUGUACGAGUGUGAUGGAAUCGAAAAACAACAUUGUCUGAUUUAAAAAAAUAUUAUAUUUUUGCUGAUUUGAAAUGUGCUCUUUCAUGAACAUGUUAUACUGAAGCAUGAUAAUUUAACCCUAAAGCACCUGGUUCUAAAUAUUUUCUCAAUUGAUUAUUUAGCCUUCUGUUGGUUUAUGUACACUUUUUUUUUUUUUUGAAAAAGUUUGGUUUAUGUACACUUUUUUUUUUUGAAAAAGUUUGGUUUAUGUACACAUGUUUUAUAGCAUCUGACUAGUGACAAUAGCAAAACCCAAAAGAUGCAUUUCUUUAGCUCUCACCUCUCCAUGGUAAUUUGUGGGGAUUCCACCCAUGUUAUAAUGCACAGUUGGUAACACUGGGAUGGGUUCCUUUGUAACAUCCACACCAGCAAAAAUGGCAGCAGUUUCAGAAAUACCAGGAAGCCUCUCCUUGAGCACAUCUGGGGGCAAGUGAUUCAAGUGCAGAUAGAUAUGGUCCUUCAAAGGUCCUGUCAAAACAGCAUGAAAUUCGUUCUAUAUAUUAAACUGAGUAUCCAUAUCAGAUAGAGAGCAGGUACUACUUUCAAUCCUUGUAGUCUAGUGUAACAGGGCAACCUAUGGAUAUAUAGCUUCUCACUCAAACCUAAAAGUAGAUAUCGGUCCAGGCAUAAAUAAAUGUAUUACAACUUUCCAUGAUUCACAAGAAACAAGCAACUGCGAAUAUAAACUAGAAAAGAACAAAAAUAAACAUAAGAAAUAUUUCUUACUAAAACCUACAUUCUAGUCAUACAAAAAUCUACUGUUCUGAGAAUCUGUUCUAGAUCAGCUCACAGUUCAAGUCAAAUCUUCAGGUACAAGAAAAAUAAUGAUAAUAAACAUACACAUAAAAUCUGCUAAAUGCAUGUCAUUAGCAAAUAUCAGGAUCUAGUAAUCAAGCAUACCUACACCGCGACCUUCCCGAAUUUCCAUGGUCAUGGAUCUUGAAACAACAUCUCUUGAAGCAAGAUCCUUGGCUGUAGGUGCAUACCUUUCCAUAAAUCGCUCACCUUCACUAUUCCUAAGGAUGCCACCUUCACCACGAGAUCCUACGUGACACAGAUAAAAAAUAGAAUCAGGCAUUGUUCAGUUUAAAAUGAAUCAAAAUCAGUUUAUUUGGAGAAAGUAAUCAUGCUACAUUCAUAACAUGCAAAAAAGAAGAAGGAAAAAGACAUGCAACGCGUUUUCCAAGUGAGCUGAAAAAAGAAGCAACCUUCUGUAAUGAGGCACCCAGCCCCAUAUAUGCCUGUAGGAUGAAACUGAACAAACUCCAGAUCCUGCGGAAGUAUACAUCAAGAAGAAAAUAAAUACCUGGAUAUGAAAACUUCUAUAUUACUCACUUCAGGUAUGAGAAUCACAGCUAACCUCAAGUGGAAUCCCGGCCCGUGCAACCAUUGCAUUUCCAUCUCCAGUGCAUGUAUGAGCUGAGGUUGCAGAAAAGUAUGUUCUACCGUAUCCCUGAGAAAACAUACAAGGAUACAGGUAAAUUGAAGUAAGGCAUCUUUUUCAAGUACUUGAAAUCCAGCAAGCAUUGGCUACAAUAUAGUACCCCUGUGGCCAGAAUUGUUGACGCAGCACGGAAUCGAUGCAAUGUCCCAUCUUCCAUAUUCAAUGCAAUUACUCCUUGGCAGCUACCUGUUCAUCAAACAUCAAUAAGCAGUCAACUUACAGCAUAUGCAUCCUCCAAGUAUAAUAACAAGAAAAUACACUGUUUAUUCUAUGUAAAGGCCUAAAAGAAAAAAAAUUUAAAAAAAGCAAGAAAUUCAAUAUAGAUAAUAAAAUAAAUGCAAUGUAAUAAAGCUUAAAAGUAAAUACAACUAAAAAUGAACCAAAAAGGCACCACUUAAUGUAACAUCUUGAAUAUGACUUGUACGGCAACAAUACAAAAUUAUCUUGAACAAUUAUGAGAAACCAUCAACUAGCCUAAUGGCAGAGAUCUGAUAAGCUCAGUACCCAAAAUCCCUUGAAGCCCAUGACGUAAAGAUGUUUCAACCAAUUAGAGCAACCAUGUACAAAUGGUUUUAGUCCAUGUACAUGGAGUUUGGUUAAUGGAGGAUGAUAAGGUCUAAGGGUAAUAAUGGGAAAAAAAAAUAAAAAAUUGUAUACCAAAUCCAUUCCCUCUAUUAUUGAUGUUUUCUAUGAUUUGGAGAGACUUAAAGGUUAUCAUAAAUCCUCCAAUCUUUCCUCUCUUUGGAAAUAAACCCCAAAACAAGCUUGGAGGGUUUAAUCCCUCUCCCUUCCCUUUAAAACCCUCCCAAACAUAGUCUGAGAUACACUGAUUGUUUUAUACCACCAAGCACAAACAAGUGAACAAUGUUAGAAAAAAAUGUAAAUGAUAUUUAUAAACAUACCGUCAUUAUUCAUUAUUAGAUCCAGAGCAAAAUAUUCCACGAAGAAUUGUGUAUUGUGUUUCAUAGCCUGGCCAUAGAGAGUAUGCAAAAGAGCAUGCCCAGUUCUAUCAGCAGCACAUGCACAACGAUAUGCCUGCCCACCUGUAAGAAUAACCAAAUAUUAGAAAGCUAUUUACAUAAAGCACAUUACUCUGCAAUCUCAAAUCACCUUUUCCAAAAUCUAGACUUUGACCCCCAAAUGCACGCUGAUAAAUUUUUCCAUCUUCUGUUCGAGAAAAUGGUAAACCAUAGUUCUCAAGUUCAAUGACUGCUUUUGGCGCCUCCCUACACAUGUAUUGUAUGGCAUCCUGAUCACCUGUGCAAAUAUCAUAGAACAUUGAUGUUCAAAAACAAAAUUUAGUCAUGAGCAUCACAAAAUAUAGAUUGUGAUAUUUGUGUGAUGUUCAUAAGCCCCUUAGCCUAAGUCCCAAUUUCCCAAAACACAAAGAUCUUUCAAAAUGAAAAGCGGUACCCUUCAGCAAAUAUAAGGAAUACACAUGUAAUGCCAGUGGUUUACUGUAUCAGAUGCCAAUUUAUCUUUGACUUUGUAAGACGAAGAUAAGUAUAAAGGCAGAGCAGCCUCAUUAAAUGUAGGAUAAUUACUUGCAUCACAGUAAAAUCUCAACUUUCCAGAUUCAAUGUAAUGCAUGCACUACAACAAAAAGUUCCUAGUUCGAUCAAGUAACAUACCCAACCAGUCACUUCCCUUGACAGUGUCGUACAUGUGCCAUCUCCAAUCAUCUUCAGUCAUAUUUCCCAGAGCGGCAUUAAUACCACCCUACAGAAUUUAGCAUUACAUAGCAUAUCAGUAAUACAUCCAUCCAAAAAGAAGCAGACUUCAGAUAUCAGAUAGUGGCAUCCCAUUUAAGUGCAGUUAAUGUUUAUACCUACAGUAACUACACCUGAUCCAACAGCGAAAACAUAAUAUAAAAAAAGUCAUAACAAGCAAAAAAAGAGGUGUUUUCUUAUCUGAAUCUUAAAGACAGGACCCUAAAGCUCACAUGCCCUCAUGAUCCCCAGUUAAAAAUCACACUAAGCACAAAGACAGCACAUGCCCUUCUAAUCCUCAUCCCCCAUUCACCCAAACUGCUUCCAAAAUAUUACCAACGGUUAAAAAUAUGAACCUCGUAUCCUAGUUAAAAAUCAUACUAAGCACAAAGAUAGCACAUGCCCUUCUGAUCCUCAUCCCCCAUCCACCCAAACUGCUUCCAAAAUAUCACCAAGGGUUCAAAAUAUGAACCUCGUAUCAAUAGCAAAACCACCCCCAGUGGUUUAGAAGCCCUUAUGUCUCUCAGUAAACAUUGUAUUCUUCCAACCAAGAAUGAAUUUAGGAAACCAAAAAUGUUGAUCCAGCCAUCUUUCUACACUUAAAGUAUGCACAAAUCAUAUAAUAUCAGCUAGAACAUAACUCAACCACAAAAUCUCCGAUACAUCAAUAUUUAUACUCUACCACCUUCAAGCUGACAGCAUACCUGAGCCGCAACGGUGUGCGAACGAGUGGGAAAAAGCUUGGUAAUGCAAGCCGUGUUGAAUCCAUGCUCUGAAAGUCCAAUAGCAGCUCUCAAUCCCGCACCGCCAGCUCCUACCACAACCGCAUCAUAAGUAUGAUCCACAACCGUGUACGAGGAUCUCCCCCCAGUCUAUCAAACAAUCCACCACAAACAUCAUAUAAUCAAACAAGCAAAAAUUUAACCUAGCUUAUUACGAAAAAUCACAAAUGCAAGAAAACAAACAACAAACAAUUAUCAAGAGCCGUGCUAAUUUUGAUUUGCAGCUUAUAUCAGCAAACUAGUAAACUAACUAGCUUUUAAAAAAAACAAUAACUCAUAAAAAAUCGAAUUCCUAAACAAUUAUAGAAAAACCCUCGAUAGUAGAAUCUAAACAGAAAAUGUAACCCUAACAUAAUACAAUCGCAUAAUAUUGAACAAAAAUCAACUAUUAAAGAAGCUUGAAAAUCACAAUCAAGUAACAAGUGAGCUAUCAAAAACCCUACGAUUCAGAUGAAAAUGAAAAGAAGAGACGUACAGUAUCGGUGGAGAAAAAUCUGGAAAUGUGAGAUCUAAAAGAGUCAUUAGAUGAUCUCUUGGUUGAACAAGGAAGGCGAAGGCCACGAGCCACGCACCGCCACAUCUCUCUCUUUUCUGUUUUUGUGUUUGUUACCUGUGAUGGAGAGUUUGCAGUGAAGGAAAGUUUGUUAUAAUAUUCUCUAUCAAUCUGAGAAACGGGGAGAGAAGGGGGCGUGUGUUCUAUUUUGUUUAAUUGCCAAAGGAACAAAAAGAAAACAUCGUUGGCAUUUUAAGAUAGAUAAUUGUAUUUUCUCUUCUCUCAAAAAAAGAAACAACAAAUCUAAUUUUAGUGUCCGCUUGUCCUGUACUUUAUAAAAAAAAAUAUUUUUUUUAUUUUUUUUAUUAUGAUAUGUUAAUAUUAAAAAUAAAUUUUAAAAAUAAAAAAUAUUAUUUUAAUAUAUUUUUAAAUAAAAAAAUUAAAAAACAAUUUCCACUAUGUUCUUAAAUACCUUUUAUUAAGAGACUAAAUAUUUCAUAUUUAAAAUGUUACUACCAUAUUUAUGAUCAUUUGAGCUAUUAAAUUUAAGUAAAAUAGUAUACAAAAUUAUUUAUUAAAUUUAAUUUUAUAUGUAUCAAGAUAUUUAUAUUAUAGCAAUCCCAAAUAUUAAAUUAAAAAAAAAGAAUAGUAAAAAAAUGAUUUAAUAAAUUCAAAUAUCAUGGACUUGGGGCAUGGGUGUUGGAUCAAAAUAUUUAUUAUAACAAUCCCAAUUGUAAAGUGAAAUAUAAGAAAAUUCAAGACAAUUCGAAAUUGCUUUCUAUUCCUCUUUUUCUUUAUUUUAAUCCAACUAUUACCAUUUAGAUAGUAUUUAAGUACACUAACAAAAUAAAAUAAAAAGAAAUAACAUGUUUUUCUAUUAUUUAUAUUUUAAAAUAAUAAAAAUUCGAUCUCAAGCUAUUUUUUAUGUCCUUGUCUAUCCAUUAAACAGUCUUUUUUCGGAAUCUUGUUAUUUCAAAGUUUUUGUGCUAAGUCAAUCAUUCGUGAAGAGUUGGUAGACGUUGAUAGACAAUAAAUGAUGCAACGUGGCAUGAGUUUGGAGGGUGAUCAUGGUGAUUUAGGAGACCACAAGAACAACUUCAAUCGAUGGUGACGUGGCGGUUGUUGCGGAGAGGAACCACGUUGGUGCUCUUUUUGGCCACGAUCAAUUUUUGAUGGAGGAGGUAGCCACGUAGCCCAGCAACCUCACCAUUAAACACCAAAAAAGUAUUGUACUUGUCAAGGGGUUGAUCACAAGCGUGGUCCCUCUACUUAGUUAAUUUGAGCAAUCGAAUACCCUACUUCCAAUUUAAUUGAUUGAGUCCUUCUACUUUCAGUUUUGCGAUAUGAACCCUCCGUCCAAUUUUCGAAUAUAGCAAUAUCACAGGAUAGCGGCUAAUAUGGUAGAUGGUAAGGUUCGUAUUCUUUUUUCAUUAGUAAACAUGUUUUCCUAAGCUCGGUUGGUGUUUUUUUGUUAUUAUUAUUAGUUAUAAAAAUACAGAGAGGAAUUAAAAGAAUUUUUACGUGCUUUCCGGUCAAUUUUUCAACAAAAUUCUAAGGAAAGGGACAAAUUAAAAAAAAAAUCAUAUUAUUUAGGAUGAGAUAUUAAGUGUUUUUUCUUCCUUGAGUUCAGAGGGUUUUUUUUAUAUAUAAUUUAUCCUUUAUUUUAAGAAUGCUUAAAAUAAAAGCAAUCACAGCGUGAAAAACUCUAGAAUAAUUGACCUAACCCCACCCUGCCUCCCUCCCCGACACUCGCGCUCACACACACAAAUACAUAAAAUAUGUAUUAAAAGAAUAAUUGUUAAUUUGUCAAAUUUAAUUUCUCGUAUGAAUGUUUUAGGAUAUUAAAUGUGAAAUUCAAUAAUAUUUAUCAUAGUCAGUUUAAUUUAUUUAAUAUAAUUAUUAUUUUUAAUUUAAACAUAGCUUUAAUUUGAAUAUUACAGGAGCAUGGGUGCCAAUAUUUUGCUUAGCAACAUUAAUUUAUGAUUAUAGUUAUAGCUAAUUAUAAAAAGCCUUUUAAGGUUUAAUCGCAUUUUAACUUUUCCGUUGUACUUUAAAAAAUUACAAUAUAUUAUACAAAAAAUUAAAAGAUAAAAUUAUCUUUAUAUAUAAUAUAUGAGAAGAGAUAGACUAUAUCCACACUUAACAUUUUUUUCUCCUUCUCUCUCUAGUCCUAAUAUAUCUCUUCUAAAAUUCACAAUCUCUCUCUCAUAAAACCUAAAAAUCUAAACCAUAACACUAAUAGUUCUCUUCUCUCAAAUCCAAACCAAAAUUUGAAUCCAAAUACUCUGAUUAAAUCCUACCCCAUCUAAAUUGGAUCUUCAAUUUUGAUUACUUCUAAUCAUAAUUGAUAAUUUCUCUUUUAGGGUUUCUUAAUUUGAUAUGCUACCAGGUUCCAGUUUAUAUUUUUUAGGUUCUAUCAUGCCUAAUUUUUAUAAUCUUAUAAAUGGGUUUAUAAUUUCUGAUAUCGGUGAUUUAUUGAUAUUUAAUGCUUAAUUUUGUGAGGGAAGUGAAUGAGUGUCUAGGACCCUUAUAUGUUGCAUGACAAGAAGAUCAUUAUUUGAUUAUUGUAGUUGCAGAUAAGUCUCUUGUUGACUCUCAAUGACGGGUUGACACCAAGUUUAAUGUAGUUGAGCUUCUUGAAACUACAUGGUCUAAGCAUUCAAGUGAGGAUGUAAUACUACUAGAUGAGGAUCUAAUCAAAACAUGUUAUGUGGAUAGUAUAACAUAUACGUUUAAUAUUAAGUUAGACUUAAAUUUUAUUAAGUGAUUCUGCAUGUAGUUUUCUUAUGAGAAGUCACUAUUAAUAACAAGGUUGCUAGCUUGAUUAUAGACAAUAGUAGCUGCGAUAACAUAGUUUUCCUUGGAGACAGUGAAGAAGCUUCAAUUAACGAUUGAAAAUUAUUCUAUGCCAUAUAAGUUGACAUGGUUGAAUGGAGAUACAAAGGUAAUCAUUAACAAACACUAUUUUUUUUUUUAUGGGAUAAAAAUAUUUUAAUGAUGCUUCGUGUGAUAUGAUGUCUAUAGAUACAUGUUAUUAUUGUAAAAUAUAGAAGUUGUGGUCAUAUAUUUUAGAUGUAUUUAGUUGUUAAAAAAAAAAAACUAAUGCUACGUGUAGUUUUAAAAAAAGAGCUUUGUGAGCUGAGUUAGUAGAAUAUUUAUGUUUGUAUUGUGUACAUGCGUAGCAGUGUAGGAGCAUGACUGAAUUGAUCGUUUAAAAUGCUAUACUUCAGGGUUUUUUUUUAUGAAAUAAAAUUCAAGUAUCGUUUAGUGAAAUGAUGGGGAAGCAUUGACUAAAUUGUUAAAGGAAAAAGAUUUAGAAAUAUUAUGAAACUUAGGGGAUAUUAUUAAAAAAAUUUAGAUAGGAACACAUAACCCGAAAUUUAUUAUUAAAAUGUUUUUAAAAAUGCAUUCCAACCAUAAAAACAAAUACUACCGCAAGGAGUGAAGUAAGUAUGAACAUACUAAGGUCACAUUUGUUUUUUGAUUUUAAAAAUGCUUUUGAAAAAAGUUAAAUUUAUUUUAUUUUUUCUUUUACUUCAAAUUAAUAUUUUUUUUUAUGUUUUCAAAUCGUUUUGACAUGUUAAUAUCAAAAUAAUUUUUUAAAAAUAAAAAAUAUUAUCUUAAUAUAUUUUCAAAUAUAAAAUAUUUUAAAACAUAAUCGUUAAUAUAUUUUUAAACACUUAAAAAAAAGAUAGGAGGUGGUAGUUGAGUUAGAUGAAGACCGAGAUGGGCACAAUGGUAGUAUUGACAUAAGUAACAAUGAUAAGAAAAAUUAAAAUAGUUGGGUGAUAACAAUAAUACAUGUUUUUAUUUUUAUUUUAUUUUAAAAGGGAUUAAACCAUAGUUAUCAAACUCAGUUUGGGGGUUGACCCGGCUAAGGUGUCAAGUCCUGGAUUACACGAGUUGACCUGAAUCAAUCCGAAAAAAUCUAAAAACAAUAUUUGAGGUUUUAAUAUUUUAUAUGAAAAAAUUAAUAAUCAAUCCAUAUGAAUAUAGACUAUACACAUUGUAAAUAAUGAAGUUUAAAAUAAUAUUUCAAAAUGUUUUUUAUCUCACAUUGAAAAGAUACUUUCUUGUUCUUUUAAGUUGAAGUAUUUAAAUAAUUUUUUUUAUUCCACAUUGAAAAAACAUAAUUUUGUUUUUGCGAACAUAGAGUAUAUAUACUAAAAGACUUCAAAUUUCACAUUGAAAAAAUAAAACAUUAUCUUAGUAUUUAUAUAGUGAACUUUGAAAUGAAUUAGUAACUAUUUGAAAAAUAUAAAAAAAAAUGGAUCUCUAACUAGAAAAAAAAAUAUAUUUAAAAAAAAACAGGUUUUUAUUGUGUAUUUUCGGAUCAACUUGGAUCGAUCUAUUUUCUCUAGACCAAUUACAAGCCCGGUUUUCAAUAUACUAACUCACUUAAUCAAUAGCCCAAAACUUGAUCUAGGUCAUGAACCGGUGCUCUGUUUUAGUAACUUUUUUGUAAUAUGUCUAAUUUCUCGGUCGACUAAAAGAAUGCAUUAAUUAAAUUUGGAUUGGAUCACGUCGCCAACAGGCAAGAAACCCAAUGAAAGCCUAACCACCUAUAAAUGUAAUUGGGCCUACAGAACCUUUUGUCAUUUGCUGAUGGGCCUAGUGUCUGAACUUCUUUUGUUACUCUCGAUUAAGCUCAGUGAAAAGGAUAAAAAUUUUGCGAAUUUGCCUCUCCUGUCCGUCGGCAAUUCGCAAAACAAAUUAAUAAUUGGGAAUUUUAGCAUUCCAAAAACAAAGAAGAAGCAGAUAAGGUUUAUCAGGUAAAAUAUAAAGAUACAACCGAAAGUUUUUUAGUUUGAAACUUAUAUGAAUUUAUAUUUAAUUUUCAUAAAAUAAAAUUAGAAUAAAAAGAUUUAAACUUGUGAUCAUUCGGUUAUUAGAUUUUUUAUACUAUAUUAAAGAAUUAUAAUUAUUUUAAUCUAAAAUUUUAAAUUAUUAAAUAAAAUUUUAAGAUAUAAUUUAUAAAAAUAAAUAAUCUUGUAAUUCAGGUUGUAAUUCAGGUUGCUGUCCAAGAGAGCCCACGUGAUAAACCCACGACGUGCAGCUUCUUAAACCAUAGGGAGAGGCGACGCAACCACUGGCAGAUUCAUUAACACAAAUCGACAAAUCAUCGAGAAAGAACAAAACAAAACAACCUUGGAAAAUGAAAGGAAACCUAACAAAGAGUUGAUUGAGGAUCAUAUAAUGGCUAAAUCUUCGUGUGAUAGUGAAAUGACUUCCAUUCCUCGUGGAAUGAUGGUCUUUCUCAUAUAUUAUCAUUAAAUUUUGGCUUUUGGCCUUUUCCUUUUUGUGUUUAAUUCGAGAAAUCUAACCCAUAUAUAUAUAUAUAUAUAUAUAUAUAUAUAUAUAUAUAUAUAUAUAUUGCAGUUACUCAUGGACAGCAUCGUGUUAGCACAUAAUUUUUGUUAGAGAACUUGGAAGAGAGAAUAUUAAGUUCUCACAGCCUGUAAUCAGCCUUGUGUUACACAAGGUGUUUUGUAGCCCGCAGCCUAUAGCCCCAAGAUUUUUUUUGGUUGGCAGAGAUAUUCGAACUGCUGAUAUCCAUUAGAUUAGAUGAGGUUUUAAUUAUGUUAAUACAUGCCAGUGAAAAAUAUUACAGAAUUGAUGAAACGAAUAUCUAACUUAAUCAUCUUGUCAACCACAAGGAUUAAUUCAAAUAUAGCUAUUUUGAGAAGAAUAAAUAAUUAUACAGGAAUCUAAAAUUGUUUAGCACAUUAUUAUUUUUGUGUUUAGUUGCGCAUUUAAUUAUUUUUUUAUCCACCAAUUUAAUUGAAGAAAUCAGAUGAAGUGAACUUUGUACUUGAAUUGUUUCUACGCAACCCCACACGGUAACGUUUUGUAAAGAAAUUUUAUAUAUCCAAUUAGUAGCAACAGUUCAAGGCUUGUGUCACUACCGCAGGCUCAUCAAAGCAGAAAACAGUAACAUUUGCUUGGCCAUCCGAAUAAUGUGGUGUUAUUUAAGACAAAUACUUGAUAAUUAAUGAGCCAAAAUAAAGCAAUACUUUAGUUUUCUUGAAAAAUCGGAAUCAGAAAGAAAACAUUGAAAUUUCUUGUUCAAAUACAAUGUUUUUUUUUAUCUUGAAAACUAAUAAAUUAGUUUUUCAGUUUUUUUAAAUUUGAACUGAGUUUGAAGAACACAUUUUAGAAGUUCUCUCCAAUUUUUUCAAUACAAGUUUUUUAUUGUUUUUUAAAUGGAAAACAAAUAUAAACAAUACAAUCUUUUAUAUAUAUAAAAUUAUUUUUAAAAAAUGUAAAGGAAUAAAAUUAUUUAGGACAAAUACUUGAUAAUUAAUGAGUGAAAAUAAAUUCGAAAACCGUGUUUCUUAUAAGUUUUACAUUUGCAAUAUCAUCAAUUAUUGAUCUAAUACGUCACAUGUAACUUUCUCCUUCAAGAUUGUUAUGUCACUCCUUUUAUGGCAAUCAUCUUAUUAAAAUAUCUCUAUCGUUUGUAUGCAUCUCGAAGAAGACUUGUGUUCGUUUCCAUCUGACCACUAGUUUCAACAAAAAGGACAUGACGUUCGCCGAUUAAUUAUUGGGCUUUUAGAAUAGGAUUUGUGUUUCCUUUUCCAUUAAUUUUCUUCCACUUUUGUUAGAAUAAGAUAACAUGAAUACAUUAGGUCUCGAGUUGCCCCAGUGGCUGGCAAAGAGAAGGAAAAAAAACAAAACAAUUAAUAUUGAUUAGCAAUGUUCAAUGAAUAAUUAGCUAAGAACAUAUAUGCUAGACUUGACACCUACAAGUGAUGUUGCUAGAGUACAUAGGAGGCCUCUACAGGGACGUAAACUGAAUUAUCAGCAGAUCAUUUUCUUGUUUACUGGUUAAAUAAAUUAUCAAAUAGAUGGAAGAUGCGCCUCUGUUAUGAUAUAUACAAAUCUCUACUGAAUAUCAUGUAUAUUAUUGAAGAAAUAUUUAAUAUAAUUAUUUUUUUUAUAAAAAAUACAGUACCAACCAACUCAUGCAGGCUUUAAUAUUUGUAUAGAUUAGGGUAUGAAUAAAAAAGGAAGAAGAGGCCAGCCUCUUAGCUGGAAAAGAAGGUGAUCAGCACUAGUGUUGGGAAACUGAAUAAUUAGAAAAGAAGGGGUCCUACGCCUGCAAACAAUAUCGAAGAUAUGCAUGGGACCAAUCAAGAAAGGCUAAAGAAACUACUAACAACCAAUUUAUAACGGGAAAUAGGAGAAAAGGGAAACGGGGCAGCCUCCCAAACGACAAAACAGCCUUUGUUUGCCUCAGUUUUCAUUCCAUUUGUGCUCUGGUGAGAUCCAGAAAGUAUCACUUUCCUAGAAAGUCACGGGGAAGCUCACAGGAGGCCCUGCGCGCGGUUCCCUGUUGUAUUGGUACUCGUAGGGUCCAAAAUAUGUCACCGGGAAGCAUCCUAUGUUAACACUUUGUUUUCAUGAUGAGGCCUCGUGUUUCUCUUAUAUAUAUAUAUAUUGUGAUUAAGAUUGUUGCCUAUAAAUACUUUCAAAAAUAAAAUAAAAUAAAAAUAGUCAUGUCUUCCUUAUCCUGGAAAUCUGCAAUAUCUUCGUGGUGGGGACUCGUUGAAUGGCUAUGAAUGCUUAUUUCUACUAUAUUUUAUCUUAUUUUCGGACUUAUAGUUUUCUGAUAAAUUUUAUCUUGAAAAAAAAUAUAUCUUGAAAAGACAGGUGACAUGUAAAACUUACAGGUUAUCUAAAAUCUCGACUCCUAGUUGAGAUGGGAUAUUGAUAUUAUGAACAUGUAAUCCGAGAAAAGUAAUAUUUAUACGUACUGAUAGUAAUAAAGUGAAUUAUAUUGAAGAAAAAACCAUAUGACAAGCUAUAUGAAUGAAUAAUUACUCCUGAGUCCCAACAUGGAGGGACCUAGGGUAAAAGUAGGAUUUACAAUGCGGGGAAGGUAGAGGGUUGUGGUCCUAUAAUAUUAUCUUGGGGUGUACACAUCGAUUUGUUCACAGAUAUCAGCUGGUAUAUCAUCAAACGCCCAAAGAGACUUACUAAGCCGUUGGAACAAUCCAGUGGUGCUCAAAGCUUCACGUACAGAGAUCAAGAACUUCGUUUUGUAUAUAUAUCCAACAUAUAUAUAUGCAUAUGGGAACGCAGAGCUAGGAUGAGGAAUAGAGUGGUCUCCAUUGAAGAAUUGAUGGCAUAUAUGCAUGCUAGCUGCUGCUGUCCUUUAUCAUGUAACUGUGAGUAGGUGCUUGACUCUUAUGGGCAAGCCCUUGGGAAAAUCGACAAAAGGAAAGGCAAAGGCUUGAUCGGUAUCAACCAGUUCCCAGUGGAAGUUGAGGACCAAAUGGUGGAUGAACACGGCCAUUUCUAGUUUUGCCAAUUCCGAUCCUGCACAAAGUCGCGGUCCUCCCCCAAAUGGCAUGAAGUAAUUACUACUCGUCGUCCCACUCGAACUUGUAGAAGCACCACGAGCAUUGUUAUGCUGUUGUCAUCAUCGCCAUUGAUAACAUAAAUAAACAAAAAAGCAAGGUAGCUAUAAUCAACAUACAAGCAUGAGAAAUAAUUUUGUCAUAAAUACCAAAAUAAAAUAAAAUAAAGGGCAAAUAUUCUCGUCUUCUUAAAGACCAGCACCAUUUCAAUUUAAGCGCUAAUUCAAAUACGUACUAAUUUCAUUUAAGUGUUAAAUCAUAUCUUAAUUACAUGACAAUUCUAAUUAAUUAAUAAUUUCCAAGAUUGAUGUUACUGACACAUCCUAACAGUUAAGAUUCGGAAUUUUAUACCAAUUUUUUGACAAGUGGAUAGAGAUUUGAGGACUAAUUAAUAACGUUUUUACUCAAACUAGAUAUUUAAUCUGUGACAGAUACCGACCCUAAAAAACAAGUAGGAUUUGACUGCCUCUACCUCCUUAUCUGACGAAUCAAAGGAGUCCAGAUUUACAGAAAAGAUAUAUAAUCAAGCUGGGAAAGAUUUAAUUUGAUUAAAUCUAAUAAUCUGAGAAAUCAACUCAUUAUUUAUUUAAUCUAAUUAUAACUUGAUUUAAUUUUAAAAAAUACAUUAAAAUAUAAAUAAAAUUAAUUUAAAUUAACCCAAUCAAUCCAAGUUAACUUACUUAAUUGUAAAUAAAACCAGGUUUAAUAACUUAUUCACAGUCGAGACGACGGAAGUAGCUUUCGAGAAAUCAAAACACAUUGAAUGGUAAAAUGGACAUAUACGUAGCAAAAGGACAAAACAGUAAAAGACAACGUCGAUGGCUCGAUGUCAAAAACUAGUCACGGACAAUUGUCAAUAAAUGUUCACAAAGUCACUUCUAUGUCGUUAAAAUGUUCAGUGCCCAAUUUAAACUUCCCUCGAUUGAGCAAUUAUUCAGUAGAGUUCUGGGAAAUACUACCUCCUCGAGUCCUUCAUAUUUAUAGUAUAAUAGCAUAAAUAUAUUUUAUAUUAAUAGACUGUCCAUUUUGUCUCUUACUCUACAUUCCUACUUAAUUAUUCCAUGAUUUAAUUUAGACUACGUCGUUUGGAUAAAAAUAGUUUCAUGAAAAAAGAUAAGAUGUGUGUGGAUUACAAGGAUUCCAGGAGUAAUGAAUCUGUUUGGUUUUGGGUAUGCUAUAAAAUUAAAUAUAAUAAUAGGUUAUAUAUAUACUGACGUGCUGGGCUAAAAUCAUCUGUAAAUUACUUGACAAUAUAUUAUCAUGGUGUUUUAACUAAAACCACAUUAAGGAUGUCUUUUAAAUUUAAGAAUUAUUUUAGAAAAUAAAUUCAUUAUUAAAAAAUGUAAAUUCUUUCAUUGAUAAAAUAAAAUUUUAAAAAACAAUAUAAGUAAAAAAACGAUACAAAGGUUCUUUUUACAUAUAUAAAAAUACCAAAAUAUUAUAUAAUUUAAUCAAGAUUCACGUGUACUGUAUAUUUUUUAUAAUAAGAUUUUUUUUAGAUCAUGGUUUUUUUAAGUGGAAUUAGAAUUCUUUAAUUGGUGGCCUUGAUUACAACAGCAUUAUAUGUGAAUGGAGACAGAGACAACAGUCUUUUGACAGUGUUUGGGUAAUUACCGGUGUUCUGGUCAGAUGAUGGAUGUUGCUUUAUAAAAUAUUUUUUUAUUUAAAAAUAAUAUUUUUUUAUUAUAUUAAAAAUUUAUUUUUUAUAUUAGUAUAUUAAAAUAAUUAAAAAAUAUAAAAAAUUAUUUUAAAGAAUUUGAUUUUUUAAAAAUAACAAAACGAUGACUCAACUGCUGAUCUCUUAAUAUUUUUUUUUAGUAACACGGUGUAAAGUGUUUUUAUAAUUAAAAUUAAUAUUUUUUAAAAUUUAUUUUAUUUUUUAUAUUAAUAAAUUAAAAUAAUUAAAAAAAAUAACUUUGAUAGUAUGAAGAAGAAGAAAACAUUUAUAAAAGCAUUUUUAAAACAGAAGCAACUUUCGACUAAAGAACAAUCACUCCCUGAAAGCAACGAGAUUUUAAAAAAUAAAAAAUAAAAAAGCAUGCAAAGGCAAUCAGUGAUGCACGUGCACAUGAGAGGCCCACAUCCACAUGCGGCUUUAAAGGCAGAGUGAGACCCAUUGUCCUAACAAGCAAAACAUCUUGUUUAAUGAUGGUGACAGUUCAUCAGUAGGGUGGUCUCGUGGGGGUUUGACUACGCUCCUUCCUUCUUUUGCUUUCAACGGUUUUGUUGGAAUGUUUUCAUUGGUUCACAUCAUCAUUCAGUGCUUUAUCUACCUAUACAAUCUUAUCUCCAUUUCCCUAUUUUUUUUCUUUAUUUUAUUUUAUUUUAUUUUAUUGUUAUGGGUUGGGUCCAUAUUUAUUUUCAGUGGCUCCCUAAAUUGAUUCUUGGGAUUUUAUUUUUAGAAAAUAAAUUGCUUUUUCAUACUUGUCUGUCCAAUAUAAAAGUAAUAUGAAAGAGGUUUACUGACUUUCAUAUGUAUGGUGUUUAAAAAUAAAAAAUAUAUUCAGCAUGACAUAAUUUUUUUUAUAAUACACUUAACAUAGUUUUUUUCCUCUCAAAAACUUUGAGCCCUUUAAAAAAAAAAUAUUUGCGAUAAAAACUAUAUGUGCACGCAUAUCAUAGUCCAUUUCUUAUUUAUCGAUAGUGGGUCUUUUUUUAAAUAACCCCUCAGUAAAAUAAUAAUAAUUCCCCCUCAAUAAUUUCAAAAGGUUUGCGGUUUUUAACUUUGACCUACUUUAUCUUAACCGAUCUUAUUGAUCUAAAAUUUAAAAAAUUAGUUUCUUAAAAAAUCUGUAGUUAAUUAACAUUUUCCAUAGCUUUUGUUGCUAUUUUUUAAACUAAUUUAAAUUAAAGAAAAAACUAUUCAAGAUCAUGUUAAAGAAGCCAGGAACAAACAAUUAUGAUAGGAAAUGUUGCUAGUGGACCCUUGUGGAAGAAGACCAAAUUGAAAAAUCUACGGAACCUUAUAAUUACUGUGACAGAAUUAUACGGCGUGAUUAUAAUAAUGUCUUAGAAAAUAAAAAAGCAUGUCUGUCAUGGCUUCAAAGCUGUACUACUGACCUGCCAUCUCCAUGGAUUGAAGUGUUGAGGUUGGUCGAAAAGAGUUGAAUCUAAAUGGACGGCUGAGAUCACUGGUAGCACUUUCCAUCCACAUGGAAUGUCGUACCCUUUAAAAGAAAAAAACAGUAUUAUUAAUUACUACUUAAGUAAUUAGAUAGAGUUGAUUAAACUAAUUAAUAUAGUGAUAUGCCUAAGGUGAGAGGAAUCUAAUACAACUAGGUUUAUCUUACCUUUGUACCGAACAUCUUUUAGAGCUUUUCUGUGAAGAAACCUGACUACGUUUCCAAGCCUCAGUGUCUCGCUUAUAACCUUCACAAGGUUGUAAAAAAGCAUGUAUAUUGAAUUUAUUCGUGUUAAAAUAAAGAAAAAUUCGAAAUAUUUCUGAUAGUAAAAGAGAAGUUAAUUAAAAGGAGCUUACGCAUUGGGUGAAUUCCAUUUUUUUGUAAUCAUCCCAGUUCAAUUCCGUCUCUCCUGACCGUUUCUUGGCUCUGGAGAUUUGAAUAUGUUCUUCCUAUAUUCAAUGAGAAUAAAUAUAUAAAUCCAAAGCAUCUACUGUGUAUAAUAAAUGCUGCGAGGUACUGAUAGAGUAGGAAGUACAGAUUAUACUGUGAGGUACUUUUUAGUUGCUUACUUUUAACUGUUGAAUAGCACCAGGACAAGCUUGCAAGAAGUAGAUGGCUAGAGCUAUGGACACAGAAGAAGUUUCGUGGCCAGCAAAGAGCAAGCUUAAGAUUAAGUCAAGGAUUUGCUCCGUAGAAAGAUUUGAAUGCUUCAAGACCCAUCCAAGAAGAUCAUCGUCUUCCAAGUUUUCUACUCCACCCUUCGUUUCAGCAAUUCUCUCCUCCAUCUUUCGCUCUAUAAAUUUCAAGAUGAUUGAUCGAGACUGCAUGUUAUAAACAGGACACCCAAAGAUGAGAUGAAGAUACGAUAAUAUCAUGACCUUUUUCUUGAAUCGUUACCUUUUAUGGUUAAUUAAAGUAAGAUUACCUUCAAGGCUUUUCUAUAUGGGGUUCCAGGCAAAUUUAUAGGAGCUGAAACUACUCCUUUCAUGAAAGUAACAUACUCUUUUUUCAGCUGCUCAGUCUCUGGCUUUCCAGGAUCCAAGCUCAUGAUAUGUUUUGCCAUCAAAUUGAAGGUAAACUGCAAUUUCCUUCAUAUGCUAAGUAUUCCUCUCGAAUAUAGAAUUCAGUAUUGAAAUUCAUUUUCUUGGCAUUGCAAGUUUGAAGAAUUACCUUCUUUGCUUCAUCUUGAGCUGAAAAUGUACAAUUCUCCUUCCAAGAGCUAAGAACAAGCAGGGUUUGCUUCUCCACUUCUUUCAAUAGAUGAGUUCUUAACCUGGCAUGGCUCAAAAAGUUAAGAGAUAUAAUCCUCAUGUCUCUAUGCAUGUCUCCAACAAGAACCAACAUGGACCAUUUUCCAAGAAUUCCACCAAUACUUUUUGGAUAGCUGCAUUCAAAUAAUCUUCCCUCAUUCUGUAGUAUAAAUCUGUUAAGUCCAGCAUCUGCGGAUACUAUUGUUGGCUCCCCAAACAAAUUGGACUUGUAAAUCUUUCCAUACCUGCAUAUUAUAAUCAAGUUUUAAGUGGUAUGAUUAACAAGAUUUCAUUUCUUGGUUCUGGCUGUCAAUCUUGUUUUCUCGGCAGUCUUAGUCUUACCUUGAUAUGUGCUGUUCCAUGAAUUCUCCUAUUGAAGUAGCAGAGUAAGGCUUCAGGUAGCCAAUGGUUUCUCCAAGAAAUGGCCACCCCAUGUUGCCUGGUGGGAGAUUAAAUCUUACUUGCUUUCUUUGCACGAGAAUGAAGAGCAAGAGUAGUGAUAAAAUCGAUGGAAGGAGAAAGACAACAAGCUCUGAGUGAGACAUGGAGCUUGACUGACUCUAUGUCUAUCUCUCUCUCACUCACUCUGACUCUCUCCCUCCUCCCCUUUCUCUCCCUGUUGAAUUUGCUUAGCUGUUCUAAGCAAAGUGAAAUCAGAUAGUAUAUACUUUUGAGGACUUCACCAAUAUUGUAAGGGCCGUGGAAGUUUAAUGUUCUAGAAAUCGUUUUGAUGGAGCUGCUUGUAAUGAAAACAUGGAAGCCAAGCCUCCUUUUAUAAUGUUAUUUUAUGCUAAAAAAGAAAAAAGAAAAAUGGUCAUGAUGUUGUAUUUCCAUGCAUUUUAUCUUAGAUUUAUUUUACUACACUAGUUUCCUUGUCAUUUGCGUUUUCCAAUUAUAUAAUUAAUAUUUUGUCUCAAUUUGUACUUAUUUUCCGACCUUUUCAAACCCAUAAAAUUAAUUUUAAUUUCAUUAAAAUAUUUCACAGUAUUUUAUAACCAUGGUUAGAAAUUAAAAAGAUGCUCUUCACAUCAUGAUGAUAAGAAAAAAAAACAUAUCAAUUCUGAUAGAUAACUUAAUUAAUCAGAUCCUGAGUUUGUUUUCCAUAAAUCAUCAAUUCGUGUGCUAUAAAUCUUAAGACUACUGGAAGUUUACAUGGUCAUUAACUUCAGGGUCUCAAAAGAUUAAUCAAGAUAUACAUAAACUGACCCGAACACCCACAAUUAAAAAAAACAUAUCAUGUCUCUUUCCUUCGCAAACAAAAAAGAAGAAAACAGGAAAGAAAAAAGCUUUAUUUUUUUAUUGUAAUGCAUGGUAUCAUUUGUUUUAAUUCAAAAUAUUAAAAAGUAUUUUGUUGUUUUCGUUUUAGAAUAAAGUUAGUUUAAGAAACAAAAUAAAAAUUGAACAACCAGAAAAGGUUAGAGCUGGAUGGGAUAUAAACCCACACUUAGCUAGGAAGAAGUUUGUUUUCUUUUCCCCAGCAGAGUAUUCCUUGUACUUUUCUUUUGAACAACGUAAUCUCUGUACUGCAAUAUCAACGUUAUCCCCUUUGAACAUUAUUUUGUUGUUUUUUUAAAAAAACUACUGAGUACUGACUUGCUUUACUUUGACUCGUAGAUGCUCUCGUGUAUAAUGCUGUCCCUUGUUAUUAUUUUGUGCUUGUUUUACCCAAAAUUAUUAUAUUCUCCACAGCCAGUCCUGGUCGUGGGUUAAAGAAAUUUAACUCAGUUUUUUACCGAGUUGAGUUGUAAAUUUAUUGAAGUUUGAUCAAAUCAAUUUUUACUUAAUUAAUUUAGAUCUAAGAUUAAUUUAUCAAAUCCGAUGAAAUUUAAUACCUAAAAGGCAUUUUAUAUAUAUAUACAGAAACAAGUGUCAUUAAUUUUAGAUUUUAAAUAAAAGGCUGAAAGAGCACGCAUACCUGAGUAGAUGAACUUAUUCUACCCAUGCCUUGUUUUAGCAUUUUUUCACCUAAUCAGCUGUGCUGCACAAGAGAGAAUGGCAUAUUUUUGUUUACUUAUGUUAUGGUUAUGUUUUUUAAAUUCUUAUAUCUGUUAAGCAACUAUCUCAACCCAAUAACUUAAGUGAGAUCUCAUGAUAUUAUUCUCUUCCAUGAUAUAAUUUAUAUUAUUCUCUAUUAAUUUCUUAAUUAAUAAACGAAGCAUUUUGAAAGGUAUCAUGUAAAAUAUAUAUUUUAAUCUGAAAAGUUAAGUUGUUUGAUGAAAUUAAAAAAAUAUUAUUUUAUUAACUUUAUAGCAUAUUAAAGGCAUUUUCCUUCACCCAAAACAGGCCUGAAAUUGCUUUCAUUCUUUAAAGAAAUAGUAAGCAACUGAAAAAAAGGAAAAGAAUUAACCAGGCCUCAAUUUGAGUUUUGUACCUUGACUUUGCUGCUGGGAAGAACACAUCAAAUCUUGCUAAAUCACAACAUUUACAUACUUAUAAUGUAAUGUUUUUUUUUUUUUUUUGCGAUUUGAUGUGUUCUUCCAGUGCACAAAGAUGAUAAUGUUGCCGCACACUAAUUUCUUCGAGUUUCAUUUAAGAAUAGUGAAUUAAUUCUGAUCGUUGGUAUGUAGUGUUACUUCAAUUAAACAAGAAAUUAAACGAUCAUUAAUGUGGUAUUAUUUAGAAUUCUUUCUUUCUUCUUCAUUUUAAAAUUUUGGAAAACAAAAAUAGAAAAGUUAAUCGCAACUAUCAUUAGAAAUUUAAAAAAUUAUAAUUUUUUGAUGUUAUUAAAUUUUAUUUCAUAGUUCUUAUCCUGAAUAUAUUCAAACUAAAACAAAACAUCAAAUUUAAAGAAGAACUGUAUCAUUUAACUCAAGUAUAUAAAAAUUAAAAAUAUUUUUUUAAUAUUUUUUAGUGUUUUUAUAUUAUUUUAAUAUACUGAUAUAAAAAAUAAAUACUUUAAAAAACAAUUGAUAUUAUACUUUCAAACACUUCUUGAUCAAAAUUUUAAAGGGAAAAAAAUUGAAACCUCACCAGAUAAAUUAAGAUUAACUCAAAAUCUUGUAGUCCGAACCACUUGCAACCCCAAAAGAUUGGUGGCAAAUGAGGAUAGAAUCCCAUCCAUUUUAAAUCUUAAAUCUUUUGGAUGAAACAAUAAAACCAAAACUUAACUAUCAAGCAUGGAUUCUUCAGAAUUCUUGAAAAUGCAGUAAGAAAUUUGCGCGCAAUGAGAUGACAUGUCUGAAUCGACACAAGAAAAUAAUUAAAGAAUCCGUAAAACAGGAUUGAAAUUUAGCAAGGGAAUCGUAAAAUCUGUCAAUCUCGAAAAAUGACGUUUAUGUCGGAUCUGCAGGCGGUGGCAGAGUUGUAAGGAUGAAGGUCGCUAUAGCAGUCAUCUGCGAAGGAAUACAGAAGCAGAGAUACCAUUCCAUGCAAUGCACAUUAACUUUUGUUCAUGGGACAAACACAUGCUUUCAACUAAUUGUCUGAUGAUUAUGACCAUUAGCUGAUAAUCAUCUCCAUUAUUGAUCACCAUUUUCAUUUGAGCUGUUCCAAUCAUGGCGAGAUUUAGACUUCAAUCCAUGGCCCCACUAGUUGAGGAGCACACUUGAUUGGAAUUUCAUGCUUUAUUUUGAAAUAAAAACUACAGCUAGAUGUGGGUUAUAUUGCCAUCAGCCUCCAAUCAGAAUGACUUUUAAAAUAAUUAUAUAAUUUUUAUUACAAAAGGUUAUGUUUCCUAAAAGAAUUUCGCAAAUUUCUAGUUUUUCACAUGGUCUUGUAAUGGAGGGUAUUUUUUUUAAAAAAAUAAUAUUAACACAUCAAAAUUAAAAAAAAACUAAAAAAAUAUUAAUUUAAUAUUUUUCAAAUCAAAUUAACUUUUAAAAUAUACCCAAAUAUAAUUUUAUAUGCAAAAAUAUACCGUGCUAGCUAUAAUAAUAGACUAACUAGAAAAUAAAAUUGAAAUAUCUAUAUAAGAAUCCAUCCUUUGUUCAUUAAUUGAUUGUUGACUACUUGUUGGACUUACCUGUUAGAGAAAUCUGAAUUGAAGAUUCUCUUAAACUAUACAUAGUAUUGUAUAUUAAUUUGACAUUAUUUUUUAUUUAAAAACCUAGAGUUAUGGACCCAUUUUUAUAUAUAAAUCUCAAUCACUUUUAUUAAUUCCUUGUCAAUAUGACUAUAUGAGAUUUUUUUUAACAAUUUCCAUGUAGUUAUUUAUAAUAUUUUACUAAAUAAUCACUUUAUAAAAAUACAAAAGAGAGAAAAAAGAAAAACAAGAGAGAAAACUAAACAGUUACUGCAAUUUCCAAAUGGGUACUGCCAGAUUAAAAUGAUUGGAAAAAUCCUAUUAAUAUUUUAUUUCUUUUUUCAUUUUUUUUUUGUCCUGGUACGUGCCAUGAUCAUGUUUCCAUUACAAAUCCACGUGCAUUCAUUAUUGCUCUUCACGUGAAGGACCGUUUCCAACUUUACAUGUAGCCUUUUCUUUUUAGAAGGUCACGCAAAACUGGACCCACUGAGUGUGUAUGCGCGCGAGUACAUCCACUUUUCUUCUAAUGGGAUCACAAAAACCGUUUCCAUUGAAAUAACAUUUUUUUUUAAAUAAAUAAAUAAAAGUGAUAACAACAUAAAAUAAUAAAUUAUUUAUCAUCUAAAUCAAAUAAUUAAAAUUCAUUGAUAUUUAUUAAUAGAUUCAAAAUAUAUAACAUAUGUAAACACCUGAUUCAUAAUAUAAAAUACGAGAUCAAACUUGUGAGACACAUAAAUUUAAAAACUUAGUGAGUUAUAAAGCUCUUUUAGACAUAUAGGAUCCAAGCAUAGAUCACAUCCUUCUAACCUCGAGCCCAUCAUGUGAUGUAUUUUGUUAAAGUAAUUCAAAUUAACACAAAAAAAGUACAAACAUAAGAGAGAAGGAGACUAUAGUUCUUAUUAAUCUGUUUAUUCUAAAAUAUUUGUUUUAACCUAAAUACAAAGAUAUUAUAUAUAGGCUAAAUUAAAAAUAUUAUUCUACUCUUAAUAAAUAAAACAAGAUAAAUGUAUUUCUUAAUAUAUUUCUCUAUUGGAUUCGGGUCAUUUAGCUCACUUUUUAGAAGUCAUGUUAACUCAAUAGGCUCAUAACAUUGGUCUAAAAAAUAGGCCGAGAACAUUCGUAAAACCCCAUCAGACAAUAUCUAUGGAUAGAAAUACUUGUUAAGACCGCACACCUGUCAGCAACAAACUAACACCAAUCAUUUUAGCUUUUCUUGACACCAGCAUAGUAAAAAAUUGGCAAAAUAUCACAAUCUAUAAAAUAUUUAAGGAAAUAACAUAGUUUUCAUAAGUCAUAAGCCUUAUCUGCUACUUGUGAAUUACUUGUGAGAACAAAAAAAAGUAGUCAGGUAGUUUUUUCUAGACUUUCAACUCUCCACCAUAAAAAAACUAACACAACAUAUACAUCACAGUUCAAAAACACAAGCCUCAAUUAAUCUCUUCAACACAAUUAAAAAAUUGACACAUGUCACAAUUCAUUAAAUAUAACAAUUAACAAUCCAUAAUCAAACAAAAUAAAAAUUAACAUAAUAUUUUAUUAAAUUUAAACUAAAUUCAUAAUUCUUAAAACAUUAAAACAUAUAAUGUAAAUACAUCUAAAAAUCACUUCAACUCGUGGAAGGGCUUAAAGCGCUCGUGGGUGGGUCUGCACCACCCUAACUUAUCCAACUCGAGGACAGACAUGUAGCACUCGUGUAGGGGUCAGCACCAAAAUCAUCUCAGCUCGUAAACGGGUCUGGAAUGCUUGUGGAUGGACCUAACUCCCUAACUGCAUGUCCCUGUUCAUGAUAAACGAUCUUGUCUUCCGCUAAGGUUUCUUUGUGAUGCUCAACCUCUUUAACUUCCUUAAGUCUAGCACGACAUAAAUUGAGCGAAUUGUUGGUCAGGGCAUAUGCCAUCUUAUUGAUACUUUCGUGGAUAAUAGAUGCUUUUGUUCGAGCCUCCCAUGAUAAAAAAUGAAUCUAAAAAAUAAAAAAUAAUAAUAAGCACUCAUAAUCUAUAAUAAAAGUAACCAUCAUAUAAUAAAUGUUAUAUAUACAAAUGUCUCAUUUCUUCAUCGCUCAACCAACACCACAAUCAAUACGUGGUCAAAAUAUAUGCCAUACAACUGACUGAUCUUAUAAAAACCAACGUCAAUAAUGAAUGAGUGAACACUCUCAUGAAACUCCAUAACGACAUCCUAAUGAGAUUUUAUAUGAUCACCACCUUGAAUGUUCAAGUAAUUUAUUCAUAAUUUUUUAAAUAAUUAAAUUUGUUUGAAAAUUAGUUUUUUUAUUUAAUCCAAGUCUAGUCAACUGACCUCUCUGUCCUAAAUAUUUGGAAAAAUGUUAGUCCUACAUGUAUAAAACUGAUAUGUCAUCUCGAUCUAAAUGCACAACCAAGUUGUCACGUUGGUCCACAUUAUUAAAAGCAUGUGAACCUCUUUUAGUUCGAUUAUCUCUGCCUCAAGAUCAUGUAAAGACAUAUUGUUAGCAUUGCUAUAUAAUUAAAUAAAAAAAUGUAACAUAUAAUAAUUUAUGUUAAUAAUUUGAAACAAAUACAAUUAUUAAUAUGUAUUGUCUAUUUUGACCGCAUAUACCAUAUUUAUUUUAUAAGUGUCUAUAUAUAUAUAUGGACACUUAUAAAUAUAUAUACCAUCUUGUUAUGCAAACAAGCUGCUCUCCUCUAACACUUAUUCGUUCUCAUCUAUCCGAACAUCCAUAUAUAUUUAGAGUAGUAGAUACAAACCAUAAUGGCAUGUCACAUAAGGGUCGGGAAUAAGAAGUAUAUAUAUUUUUGUAAGAUUCAUUGGUGAAGAAAAUAUCAAUAAAUUGCACGUGAUUAACAUUUCAUAAAGUACAACAUGUGAUAAGAACAUGGUUGAUAUAAUUGUCAUUUACCAUAAAUACAAAUUGCUUCAUUAAUGCUAACUGUUUCCUAGACUUCUCUUGAAACACCAGCUAUUAAGGGUGUUUUAGCUUGAACUAACCCCCUUUUAAGAUCAAAUAUACUUGCAACAUGUGUUCUAGAUUUUGUUAAAUUAACAAGUAAUUUAGUUAGGAUAACUAAAUGCCAUAACACACCACCUAAAAAAUUCUCCAAUGGUAGCUCUUCGAUUAACAAAAUAUUUAUUACAUCUAUAAAAUAUAAUAUGUACUAUAACGAUUAGAGCCAAGUCAUAAACAUUAUUCAAUACAUAAUUAAAAACUUUUGAUAAAUUGGUCAUCAUGUUGCCAUAACAAUAACCACCACCAUAUUCAUAUGAAAAUGCUCAUUUCACUUUAAGUUCAAUUUCUAACCAUUCUCUGAUCACAUCAUCUGUCUUAACCAGAUCAUUAUACAAUUUAUAAAGUUCAUGUUUUAAAGUAUUUAUACUCAUCUUAUGUAAUAUAUUUUUCAAGGCGUUAUUUUUUUAACCUAGUGUUGAAAUAACAGAUAAAAUGGCGCGAAUAAUAUUGAUGAUAUCUAACAUGCUCAAAAAAUAUUUGUGUUAUGGAAUUUUGAAUCACCACAUGUCUAUAUAAUAUAAUACAUAACCUAGUGCGAUCGUUAAUUACAUACUAACGAAGCAAGUCUAAAAACCAUCUUCAAUUAUUAUUCAUUUCUUCUUCAACAAUAGCAAAAUACAAUGAAUAAAUCUAAUUAUUUAUGUUAUAAGCACUUGCAAUUAACAACUAUACCUUUUACUUACCAUAUAAGUGAGUGCUUUCAAUACUAAUCACAUGGUAAUAAUAUUUAAAUUCAUCAAUUAAAGCAUCAAAUACCUAAAAUGCUCUUCUAAAUAAUUAUCAUCAACCAUUUUAUUAUCUCAAUCGAUAAUCUUUCCUGAAUUUGAAUCUUUGAUAUCUAAUAGCAUUCUAGGCAAGAUCUAAAAGAACUCUUUGUGUGUACCAAACAACCUCUCUAGUAUUUUCUGCUUAGCCACUCAUGCCUUCUAAUAUAAGACAUCAUGAUCAUAAUCCUAAAUUACAGUAGCUUGAAUGUUUACAACACUUAUACUUAUAUCAAGUUUCAUAAUUUUCAACAUCGCCUCAGCAAUGAGAUCUGAUUCAAACUAAUGAUGGCAUUGCAAAACAAGUGGGUUUUGACAAGUGUGCAGCCUUUUAGAUUUUGAUGUCUCAAAUGAAUUAAAUCUUUGGUGAUACCCCCGUGUAAAUGCCAUUUAUAUGCCAUUUAUACACCAGUUGCAAAUAAGUUUUAGUUGAAUGCUGGACCGUGUACUAGUGGACUGUGUACUACAAUGAAUUCUUGAUAUGCCACCAUUUAAUUGUAGUGAUACAAUGAGACUUGUUUUUGAAUUUUUGUCCAACCUCCAAUUCAUCACUCGAUAAGCCUAAAUGCCUACAAAUCAAAGGGCAACCAUUACAUACAUGUUGGCAUACACACUCACAUGCUAAAAUUUAAAAGCGGGAGGUGUCGUGUGUUGGUUUAGAGACUCAACUAACUCAUCUUCCUCAACUCUAUCAAUAUGAUGAUCAUCUUUAUUGUCACUUGGUUGGAUUCUCCAUAAUAGUAUGGAGAAAAUUUCGUAUCCAACCAAGCUUUCAUAAUAAUAAUUUAUUGUGCUGACAUUUGGUUCCUUUCAUUAUCAUCUAAACUAGAAGAAUCGACAACCUGUAAUGCCUAUGUGGUCUUUUGAGAGUUAUUUGACACCUAAGUGAACUCCAUACUAGAGAAUCUUUCUAGUCCAAAUCUACUAUUCAAGUAUAGUUUUAGAAUAUUCAUCCCAUUAACGUUGGCAAACACAAAUAUUUAAUUACACUUCCACCAUUACAAAUGAGUAGAACAACAUAACAAAUUAGACUAGCCUCAUUUUGCAUAAUCUUUCAUGUGACGGAUGGUGGCGGUCGAGAUCCAAGAGAAAGAUGCUUGUGAGAGGAGGGUCUUCUUCAUCGUGGAGAGAGAGAGGGGGGUGUCAAGUGUUACAUGUAGGUGUUUCACUGUGGGGGGAGAGGGAGAUAAAGGUGGUGCACGAUGAAUCGUGACGGGAAAGAGAGGCACUGGAGGAGGAAGAGAGAAAUGGGGAAAGAAAGGGAAGAAAAUGAGGGCUAAGAUUUUAAUUCGUUUGGAGUCACAUAUAAGACUUGCAACUCGUGUGUUGUAAAUAAUGCUUGUAAAUUAUUAAACGAGGUUAUUUUUUAAAAUAUUUUAUGAAAUGUUGUAUUUUUUUUUUAAUGAGCUAAAAACCAAAAAGCUUCCACUCGUUUAGCCUGGGUGCAUCCCUCCAGGGUCAAAAUGUUUGAAUUCAAAAACUCUAGAUAAAAGGAGGACAGAAGUAGUUUAUGCCUUGUUUGUUUCCAGGAAUUCAUUUUCCUGGAAACCAUUUUCCCCACUUUCCCAUGUUUGGCAAGCAUAAGGAAAAUUAGUCAAAGGAAACUCAAUUCCAGUCAACCAAAAAAUGAAACGUUAGAGCAGGAAAGUGUUUUCCUUUCUUUAUUCUAAGGAAAACACUUUCCUUUUCUUUAUUAACCAAAAGCUCCCAUCCAAAAGCUCCCAUGCUCUGUUAAUUUCACUGCAACCAAAAGCUCCCAUGCUCUGUAAACCGAAACCCAUGGGAAUGCAACCCAUUCAACCACAGCAAACCCAAACCCCUGAGAAAAAUCAACCACAGCAAACCCAAAAAUUGAACCCAGAAACCAAACACAGACCCAUACACAUACACGACAAAAUUAUUUCCUUUCGCCAUUGUUGCUAUCACAGCAAAGAAUUACCACUGUCACAGCAAAGAAUCACCAUUCUUUUCUCAAGCCGAAGGCGCCCUUCGCGCCCGUUUCCUUCCCAAUCUCUUCGCCAGGCAACCCAUCCAUAGAAAACCACAACCCCUGUAUUUUUUCCAUAAACCAAACAUUGCAAACCCAUACACAGCAAACCCAAACCCAUUUUUCCCAGAAAUCGGGUUUGCUGUGUAUGGGUUUGCAAUGUUUGGUUUAUGGAAAAAAUACAGGGGUUGUGGUUUUCUAUGGAUGGGUUGCCUGGCAAACCCAUGCUCUGUUUCUCCACCCGAUGUGAUUUUCCUUCUAUGUUGCUGAUAUGCGUUUCCUGUGUUUUGUGCAUUUCCUGUGCUUUGUUGGCACAGGGGACAGGGGAAGGGGAAUGAAAGAAACCGAGAGGGAACAGUGGGAAUCGAUCGAGAGGGAGAGGGAACAGGGGGAAUCGUCGACCGAGAGGGAGAGGGAACAGUGGGAAUCGACCGAGAGGGAGAGGGAGAGGGAACAUGGAACAGGGAACAGGGGAAUGGGAGAGGGGAAUCGACUGAGAUGGAGGGAGAAUGGGAGAGGGGAAUGGAAUUAAUUUGAUAAAGGAAGCUUUGAAGGAAUUAAUUUGAUACGAAGUCAGGGGAAGGAAGCUUUGAAGGAAUUAAUUUGAUACUUGUGAAGUCAAGGGAAGGAAGCUUUGAAGGAAUUAAUUUCUAUGUUUGUGCGAGAGUUAAUUUGAUAUUUACUUUGUUUCUAAAAUGUUGUACAAUUAACUAAAAAAUUGUAUAUUCUAAACUUUAUGAACAUGCAUAUUUCAAUCAUGAUAAUUUUCUCAACAAAGAAAUUAUUCAAAAAACCCAUCAAAAUAUUUUUUCAAUCUAUUUAUCUUUUAAACAAAACUUCAUAUAUAUAAAAAAACCAAAUAUAUAAGAAAAAAAAUAUAGUAAUAGGUUUUACUUAAAAAAUAUUUCACAAGCUUAUUUUUAUAUUAUAUGAUAUGACAUAUAUAGUUAUUUUUAUAAAAUAAGCUAUGUAUGAAUAUAUAUUAUAAUAAAAAAAAUUCAUCAUUAUACUUUUUAGAUUUUAUUUUUUUAUUGUAAGUGAUUAAAUAUUUUAUAUAUAUUAGAUAAACUUGAAAAAAAAAUUAAUUCAUUAAUAAAUUAUUUUCCAGUUUAUUUUUCAUAACAUAAACAAACACUGGAAAGUGUUUUCCAGUUUAUUUUCCAUAACACUGCCAAACAUCGGAAAAUACUUUUCUGGAAUUCACUUUCCAGGAAUUCACUUUCCCCGGAAUUCACUUUUCAAAAGGAAAUAGAUAAAAGGAGGACAGAAGUAGUUUAACAACGUAGCAUUUGCUUAUUUUAUUUUUCUUUCUCCAACAGAAGACCAUUUCCUCGUUGUAUUAAGCCGAGCACAGAUCUAAAAGCGUACUUACCAGAUCUAAGCCACGAUAUAAAAGGUUCUAAAGAAGGGGACGUGGCCCAAUAGCAUUAUUGUAUUUAUCAUUUUAUAGAUUUGUACUAGUAUAACAACAACUACAUUAAUCUAUCUAAUCAUCAAACAAACAAACAAACAAACAAAACAAAAGCCAUCACCCGUGCGGGUGGCCAGCACUGCCAAUCAUUGCUGCCAUAAGCCCAUACUGGGUAUCUUACAAGUGGCAAAAUCACACGUGUAGGUGACAAGACGAACGAGAGAAGGGGCUAAUUUCUUUUAAAAUUCUAAUACAAACACCGACACCAGCCAUUAAUUACUUUAAGCAAGGAGGUUGAAACUUGAAAGUUGGCAAUGGAGGCAGGUAGGGCCUUUACAGCCCGGUAUGAUUAGCCUAGGAGAUCUUGCAAGAAACGGCCGAAAGAAUCGAGGAGAAAAUAUAUCAAGCAACGAGACAAUGCCUGUUGAUUUUACGCAUUCAUCAUUUUAUUUUUAUGUUUUAAAAAUAUAUUUUUGUUCUUGCUUUAAAUUAAUAUUUUUUAAAAAUAAAAAUAUAUUAAAAUAAUAUAUUUCUAAAUAAAAAACAAACCAGACCAUACAAAUCCAGUCCAGCAUGUUGAACACAAAUAACUCUGGUUUGCGUUUUUUCUCCUGUAUGGGUGUGGUCAUCAAGCCACCACCAUGACAACGGCCUGCAGGGAUAUUGAUAACAUUCUCGGGCAGAGUUCUCUUUAGUGGGAUCGUUUGCUUUAAUAAUAAUAAUAAUAAUAACAACAAUAAUAAUAAAAACAUUUUUUAUUGUUGAAAAAGCAUGUACAAGUCGAGGAGCAUCAUUUCCAUGAAGGAACAAGUCAAAAUGAUAAGACUUGGGGGCUUUCUUUUGUCCAUGUCAGUCUCCUCUAGAUUAGCUAGGUGGAGAACUCCAGACAAUAUGUAAAUAAUUUCAACUGAUUUCCUCAAGUUUUUUCCUCGAUCGUUCAAAUAUUUGCAGCCAUUUUCUCCCAUCUAAGACAUUAAAUUUUUCAUUAAAUAAGAAAGUCAAACUUUUUUUCGAAACCCAACAUUAUCGCUUACAUCAUAAGAAGUUUAUAUUAAAAGAAAGGUUAUUUUUUAAAAUAUUUUUUAUUUAAAAAUAUAUAAAAAUAAUAUUUUUUUAUUUUUUAAAAAUUAUUUUUGAUAUUAAUAUAUCAAAAUAAUUUAAAAACAUUAAAAAAUAUUAAUUAAAAAUAAAAAAAAUAAUUUUUUAAAAAAUAUUUUUAAAAUACAAAAAUAAAUAGUAUCUGAACUUAUCUUUAAAAUAGAUUGAAGAAUUGAUGAACUUUUGAAACCCAAUUGGAAAAUAGAAAAUAAUUUGAAGAUUGCCACUUUGCCUGGAAUAGCUUCUGGCGUUGGAUAAGGUCAGCUAUAGCGCCAGUACACAUAAACACAAUUAAUAGCUUCUACUCUUGACAUUAAAAACUCAAGUUUUUUUUUUUGAAAAUACCACGGCAAGAAAAAACAUUUUACAUAUUAAUUCAGCAGAAAAAAUUAUACUGGUUUAGCUAGUUCUAUUAACGUAACCUAUUAAAAUAAUAAUAAAAUUUAAAAAUGUUUUUGAUGGGAUUAACACAAUUUAUUUUAUUUUAUUUGAAGUUAUUGCACCAUUUUUAAUAAAACAAUCGAAAAAACUAUGCUAUAUCUCAAAGAAAUUACCCAGCUAUAUUAGUUCAUAAAAUAUUUUUGUUGACUAUGCUAUUUUAAAAAAAAACUCUAAAUACACGGUCCAAGGGUAAAUAUCUGGUACGUGGUUCCCAUGUGCCCAAGUGUCAAAUGAUUUCUCUGUGACACGUGUACGUAAGAGAUUUGCCCAAUCAAUUUUAAUUUUUCUGUAAGAGAGGACAUUUCACGCAUGCCAUGACGACAGGCUGGUGUACGGAUAAAGUAUAAAGCAGUAAGUAUGUGUGUACCAUGUGUUCUUACGGUCAAUGAACUACAAAUUUCUUGAGUUGAAUUUUUUAUAUUUGUUAAUUUGGGUGAUAUAAUUAACCUUGCUAAGUAUAAACCAUGAAUAAUAUAAUAACAAAGCAGGGCACACGAUCAAUAUGUAAAUAUAAUUCUCAUCAAUAAAAAAGGAGCCUAAAAAAAGUUCGUAAAAAUAACUGGUAGAGAAUAAUAUAAAUCAUAUCUUGAGACCUUACCUAACAGCUUAAACUUUUGGGUUAAGUUGGUUCUUUGACAUGGUAUCAGAGCCUUGAUGACCAAGCGGUCACGAGUUCGAAUCUCACUAUCCCCAUUUAUUUGAUAAAAAUUAAGCACAAGGUAAUAUGUGUCUGUGCAAGUUUCAAGCCCAAAUGACUUUCACUUGAGGGGUGUGUUAGAGAAUAAUAUAAAUUAUAUCUUGAGACCUCACCUAACAGCUUAAGAUUUUGGGUUGAGUUGGUUCUUUGACAAUAACUAUCAUUCCACUUGUUUUUGCAUUUUAAAAGCGCUUUUAAAAUAAUUUAAAAUUUUUUUAUUUUUUUUCUUUGCUUUAAAUAAAUAUUUUUUAGUAUUUUCAAAUCAUUUUGAUAUGCUGUUCUUAAAAAUAAUUUUUUUUCUAAAAAAAUUAUUUUGAUGUAUUUUGAAGUGAAAAACCACAACCCAAGCAUGUCAAUAUAUAUAAAAGAAAAAACAAAAAACUAUUAUAUGGUCAUUGAAAAUAUUUUUAGCUUGUUGCUAUUAAGAUAUAUUCGAAGAAAAAUCGAGAAGCUUUUGUUGACCUUGGAUGCCCGUGUUCCAUGCAUGCAUGCUGACAAUGCAUUUUGAAUAGUUUGUAGGAUUUCGGUGAGUGUAUAUUAUUUUAUUUAAAAAAAAAACAUUUUUUUUUGGGAGUAAAUUUUGGAGUAAAAAGACUUUGUAUACUAUUCUGAUUUCCGACUAGUGGAUACAACAACCAACAACAUAGUACAAAUAAAUUAAUUGUGUUUAAUUAAUAAAUAAAAAUCACAUUUAAUUAUUAAAAUCUUCUUUUUUCUGUGGAGAAGGGAUGUUUGGUGAAGGGUUCCAUCUCUCAACAUCAAACUCCAUCUUGAUUGCGCAAACAGAGAGACCUCAAUCAUUGCCCACGCGCGGGUAUAGCAGAAAACGUGGCCGCACGAUGCUCAAUGAUUUUCCAAGGGAAAUGAUGGCAAUCUGGGCUCUACCUGUGAGGAAGGAGGAAAAAAAAACAACGAAGUCACAAUCUUUGACCAGUGUCUCUAGCCUUUGUGUGCAUGGUCUUUCUCUCCAUUUCAUUUGGCAGCAGCCAAGUGGAUCUUGGAGGGCCUCUCUAAAUCAUGGUGUUUCUCGUAAUAAUAACACUCCUUGUCCUUCUCCUGGCUUAACGCAGGGCCAUGCUGACAUAACAAAGCUAAACAUCUUAAGAACAAUCAGUUAUUGUAAUGGUUGGGUCAUUAAAGCACUCGAAAUGGAUCGUUUACUCUCGUAGUAAUUCCUUAACUUUAGCUAGUUCAUGAGAUAAAAUAGUAUAAAUGAAGCAAAAGGUAUGUGCAGAGUUGACCCAAAUACUUUAGGGUUGAGGUUUAUUGCCGUGUAAUGCUUAAAUGGGACUCAAACUCAAGCUAGCCCUGUCUCUCUUGAUUUGCAAGAUUAAACAAUGUGAAACCUUUAUGAAUUGUGCGGUAAAUUAAUGACCAAAGGGAUUGCAGGGAGUAAUCGCAUCUGUCACAGCUGUUCCAUCUAGACCAGACGUUGCCUGUAUAUGCUAGCAGAUCGGCAUGUAUAUACACCACUUGUGGUUUUAGAUGGAACAGUCAGGACAUGCACGUAACGGCUGCUUGCGCCAGUCAGGUGGCCACAGGCGGUGGAAGAACCUCCCUAUAAGCUCAUGUCGCGGUGAUACAAGUAGCAAGUAAAGCACAACAAUGACUGGACGACAUUUUCUUGGGAGGUUCAAUAAUAAUAAAAGCAACGUCCAUCCUGCUGGUUUGGUGGUGGCUUGAGAAUCACGUGGUGCGUGCUACCUUACCUUCUACUGGUCAAAAAUGGUAGCUUUUCCUUUAGCAACUCGCAAGAACCAAGGAAACACAGGCCUACAAAAUGCGGCAGGCAAGAGAAGUCAAACAAGGGCAGCCCUGCCCAAGGGCAAGCAAAUAUUCUAGUGUGGCCUUCCAGGACAGUGAACGGUUUACAGAGUGAUAAAAUACUCUGACGUCUCACUUUCCAGUGUACUAAAAGCUUUCCUGAACAUCGAAAGCGAAACAUCUAAAGUUUUAACUUUGAACAUAAAAGAACGGAACAAAUCUGGCCAUUUUUAUUUGGCUGUGAAAAAACCCAGUAGGGCUCCCUUUCCUUUCGGCUUUCGGCCGUGUCGCAUUAAGACAGCAAUCACCCACCGACAAAUGUUAGUUUAAUGCGAAGCUGAUAUUUUCUUGCAUCCAGGAUUCUGCCAAGACAGAACCAUGCAUGCAAAUCUUCACUUGUAUUUGUGUGAUUCACAUGGAUGGCUAGAAUCCAUCAUGCAUUGCAUCACACAGCAUCACUUGCCCUUAGCGCAGCCCCUGCAUCAAUUGAUAUUAUGCAUAAUCAAUAAUAUUUUAGCACAGGAAUUAAAGGCUUCAUGAUGGCACAAGGACAAAUGUGAACCUUAAAAAAUAUUUAAAUUUUCCAAUUAUUUGGACUUAGUGGAAGAGUAUUGAUUGAUUGGCCGAGAAUAUAGGCCUUUGAGGCAAAAGUGAGAAUAUAUUGCCUUGUCUUAUCAGCGAAUAAAAGCGAAGCUAGCCUAGCGAUUUUGCGGCAAAUAAACCUAAUUUGGAUUGCAAAGAUGACUCAUAGAACAGUGUUUUCCUGUUCUCUGGAUAGAUCUCCAAUCAACAUCUCAAAACUGAUAAGAGACUCGAUAAAAGAUAGAGAGACCCAGGGAUUAUAUAAGAUCAGCAGCAUGUUUCCCGCAAAAUCCUUCAUCACCUUUUUCCUGGAUUUGGGAUUUUAUUGCACGCGAAUCUUGGAUGCAAGUGUCAAAGAGGAAGGUUUAAUGAUAUACGUGUCCUACAAAUAAUUCCUGAGGGCGUGCGUGGUUCAUAGAAGCAGACUAAUCCAUGAUUUUUGGAAAAUCUAGACAUCAAAACAAAACCCUAGCAUGGCCACAUUAUUGCGCAAGCACAACUCCCUCACUUCCAACCAAAUCAUGGCCAUCAUUACCUGCCAAGCACACCUUAAUCACUUCUUCUCACCGACUGCAACAUUACAUUAUCUCAAAGCGGGGUGAAAAGGAAAGAAAAAUCAUCCAUGUAAUCUAUAGUGGAAGAAACUGCGGUUCAUGCAAACAGCAUGUUUUACAAAGGUACUUUCUGGUUCCACUAACAUCAACUUUUUGACAAACAGAACAGAUCCCAUGCGCCAUUAGUAUGCAGCAAUGAAAGCUGACAGAUCCUAUCAUAAUGAGCCACUAGUAUGCAUAAUAUAUUUAUACCAUUGACGACUACAAUAUCCUGCAUUCAAAAGGUAGCUCCUCGCUACUUUUUAUCCAAAAAUGUGAGACCUAACCCACACAGUUGGCAAAUAGAAGCACAAAACCUGCCAAUUAUCCAAUCAGAAUUAUCACAUGGUAACUCGAAGUUAAGGUGGAGAGCUAAUAGCUAAAAAUUCAGAGAGAGCAACUAGUGAUGAUCCACACUCCACGCUGUCUAUUAAUCAACCUAUGGUUAGAAAAAUGAACAAGAGACCCGAUGAAUCAUUGAUAGACAUUAUUGGGAUUCAACUAAAAGCACCAUACAGGAAAAUAUCAGAAAAUUGAAGUGGUGUGAUGAAACAAUCAUUUAUGGACAUUGAUCAUAUUCAUAUGCAGGCCAAGAGAAGACGGUCCCCUGCAUUCCUUCGUGAGGCAUGUUGGGGCCAUAUACUCAUUAAUUAAGAGUAAUCAUGUCGCCUGUAUGCAGCCCAUCAACAUCA
RNAcentral lists this long non-coding RNA (77764 nucleotides) under Populus trichocarpa (black cottonwood). Its description in RNAcentral is "long non-coding RNA (PTRI_LNC001932)". Lineage: Eukaryota; Viridiplantae; Streptophyta; Magnoliopsida; Malpighiales; Salicaceae. The record is from RNAcentral.